CUUUUUUAUAAAACAACGCUCUAAAAUUUUAAAAUUUGCGAAACAAUCCUCUCAAAAUUUUAUUUGUAAAACUAAUCCUCUUUUCGCCAAGUCAGCAGCACGUUAGAAUUUCUUUUAAAGGCGGUAAAUCAUUUACCGCGUUCUCCAAUUUUUUUUAAAGACGGUAAAUCGUUCACCGCUUUCUCCGAUUUCUUUUAAAAAUGGUAAAUCAUUCACCGCCUUUCACUUAUUUACUGUUACUUUCUAUAUCUCAUAUAUAAUCCUAACAACAAUAUAAAAAUUCUAACAAAUCACAUAUAAUCUUAACAACCUUUAAAUCCCAAUAAUUUAUCCAUGUAAUUUGCUUUUAUAUGAAAUUAUAUGGAUAAAUUAUUAGAAUUUAAAAGUUGUUAAGAUUAUAUGGAAUAUAGAAAGAAACAGUAAAUAAGUGAAAGGCGGUGAAUGAUUUACCGUCUUUAAAAGAAAUAGGAGAAAGCGGUGAACGAUUCACCGCCUUUAAAAAAAAUAGGUAAAAGCGGAAAACGAUGCACCGCCUUUAAAAGAAAUAAGAGAAAACGGCGAACGAUUCACCGUCUUUAUAAGAAAACCCUGACGUGGCGCCCACGUGGCGAAAGGAGGGUUAGUUUUACAAAUAAAAUUUUUACAUGAUCAUUUUGCCGAUUAUAAUUUUUUAGAGGGUCAUUUUAUAAAAAAAAACCCAAUUGCCCACUCUCUGAAGCGUGAUGUGGACAUUUUUUUUUGGUUUUGUGUUGUUUUAUUAGAGUGAUAAAGAUAACAUGCUAUUUGUUUUGUUCAUUCGAUGAAUAUUUAUUCUAUUAUUUUAUUCCAUCUAUUUAAUGCGAUGAGAUAAAAAGAAGUGCGACAUAGGUGAUAUGCUAGAAGUGAAUUGAAUUGAAUUAACCUUUCGAGGAGAAAUUGGCCAAGGAAUGAACAGCAAUUCGGGUGUCACAAAUUCCAUCCAAUAGUUAUGUCAUGAUUAAAAUUUGAAACUACAGCCAAUCAAUCACUCAGCUACUGUGUCGACAGAACUAAUCCAUUAACAACAGCAACAGGACUAUUGAUAAAUAUCUUAUUUUUCCAUCAACUAACAUAAGAUCGGUUCUCUCAAAAGCAUCACUCUUUCUUCUUCUUCUUCUUCUUCUUCUCUUUCUUUUAAGAGUACCAAGUGUUUUGGGUGGAUAAAAUUGAUUGUGUAGUUAGGCAGCAGUAAGGGCAUAAACUCUUUCUGUCACAAUGCCUUCUUUUUCCUGGACAUUGAAAGGGACUUCCAUCAUUAGGAGAAUUGAAUAGGCAUCCCAAGCAUCGGCGGUGGGACAUGUGAUCAUCACCAUUGUACCAAAUUUCAGCUAAGUCUACGUGACAACAGUCUCUUCUUCAUCGCCACCCCUGAAUCUGAUUGGUUUAUCAAAGUGUCAUGAGACACGAUUGCCGAAGUUUAAUAAACCUCAAGAUUGGACAAAAUAGGAAUGAUUAUAUUGAAAAGGACUCGAUUAGGAUAGGAUUAGGCACAUUUCAACUGCGUUCAAUAUUCCGUAUCAUCAUUAAAUCGCAUCGCAUCGCAUCGCUACUGCCAACUAGUCAAAUAGUUUUGAUUGAGUCACAGUCACAGUUCUAUGAGAACUAAUGCCACAUCUAGUUUUAUUGGGAAAAACAAUUCCAAAUCUAGCAUUCUUUUUAAAAAAAUUUCUAAUCUAGCCUUCUUUUGAUAGAUUAGAAAAUAAAAAUGACUUAAGCAUUUAUAUGUUAAUUAGGAGAGAGAAAAUUUUUCUCUCUCUUUCCUCUCAAUUAAUUCUUAUAAUAAUAACAAUAAUUAAAAAUUAAUAUUUAAUAAUAAUGAUAUUAUUAUUAUUGAAUGAUAAUUUUAUUAUUAUUAUUAUUAUUAUUAUUAUUAUUAUUACUAGCAUUUAGUACAAGUGGUAAAUCACUUGGUGGUUGGUACUUGAAGUUCUGAGUUUGAAUUAUUAUUAUUCUAGCUAAGUUUAUUUGUAAAAAAAAUAAAUGAAGAGGAUAGCACCAUGCUAUCUUUCUGAAAAAAAAAUUUCAAUAAUAAUAAUAUUUAUUAUUAUUAUUAAAUAUUAAUUUUUAAUAAAUAUUAUUAUAACAAAAAUUAAUUAUUUUUAAAUAUUAGCAGGGUGGGAGGAGAGAGAGAAAAAAAAUUUCUCUCUCCAAGUUAGCAUAUAAAUACUAUUAAAAUUAUCUUUUAUUUUCUAAUUAUCAAAAGAAGGCUAGUUUAGAAAUUUUUUUUAAAAGGAGGCUACGUUGGGAAUUUUUUUUUCUAAUAAGGCUAUACAUGGCAUUAGUUCGUUCUAUGAACCACAUGAAUUUGCUACAACACAUCAGCACAAGAAAUACGGCAAUUUGCUGUCUCAAUUAUAAGUUUGAUGCUGCAGGAGAUUAAACCCAAGUUAUGGAAUUACAGUCAAACAGAGUGAAGCCUAGAACCAACACCAGCUGUCAAAAUAGGAAAAGACAACCAACAAGAGAAAGAAAACGAAAACAACCAAUUUAUAUUCUAUCAAUGUAUAUGUAGUUUCCAAUGUUACAGCUUCCAUUAUUAUUACAAUUAUUACAAUUACAUAGAUAUUUAGCACAAAACAAUCACCUUAUGCAGAUAUGUUUAACACACCGUAGCGGUCAAUAAACAGGGAAGGUAUGCACAUAAGCAUGCGGAUGCAGUUAGGACACUUGGGCCCCGUUUAGUUCGAAAAUAAUGAUAAUUUUUUUUAUUCUCGAAAAUAGUUUAUUAUUUCAGAAUAGUUAAGAAUAAAAGUAAAAUCUUAUUUGAUUUGUAAUACUGCUAUUCUAAGAAAUAAUUGAAAUUGUGUUGGUUAAUUUUAUGGAAUAGUAUAGAAUAAUAGAAAAAAAAUAAUGAUUGAAUUUGAUAUAAAUUAUAAUUUAAUAAAUAUAACUUGUUAUAAAAAUAAUUUAUAAAAAUAAAUUAUUUAUUAUAAAAAUAUAUAUAUUUUUUUAAAAAAUCUACUUAAACUUAAAUUAAUAAAAAUAAUUUAUUAUAAUAUUUAAGUAUAUAAAUAAUAUAUCUUAAUUUAGAACAAUUAAUAAUUUUAUAAUAAAAAUAAUUUAUUAUUAUAUAUAACGUAUUAUGAUUUAUGACUACAUAAUUUAGUUUUAAUUCAAUUUAUAAUCUUAAUAAAGUUUGGAGUUAAAUAUUUAAAUCGUACUAUUCUACCAAAAGAUGAAAUUAUUUAUCUAAGCUAUUCCGGAAUAACUAAUUAAGAAUAGAAAGGUUUCACCGAGAUAAAUUAUUCCAGCCAGGAAAAAAUCUAUUUGGCGAAAUAACGGGAAUAACUUUCGUUAUCUCCGGCUUUAUUCCCAAACCAAAUGGAACUUUUUAGGGGUUAUUUGGUUACAUUAAUAUUGUAUUUCGAAUAUAUUUUAAUUUACUUAAGAAAUUAUAGUUUUGGUAGAUGCGAAAUAUGGUCAGACAUUUAAAAUUAAAUAAUGUAUUUUUAUUUUUGUAAUUAAUUUUUUAAAAUAAAAUAAAUCACUUUAUAGAUAAAAUAUGUUAAUCCACGACGAAAUCAUGAAUGGCAAGACCUUUUCAAGAGCAGAAAUUAACUUUUUACAUCUAAUCGAAAAGAGAAAAUUCAUGCUGAAUAAAUUAUUUAAAGAUAACUUAUCCAAUAUCCAAACAAAACCUUAAUAAGAGAUAGAGAGAAUUAAAUCGAAACAAAUCAGAGGUUCCGCAAGGAAAUCAAAAUUACGUCCAAAAACCUACAUGGAUCAUGCAAGUGGGACUGAAAAUCCACAAAAGCAAAAGAUGAGAUAUGAAGGUACCCUCCCAGUCAAUCACAUCGUCGUGCCUCAUUAAGUUGUGAGGAUCUAACUAGUGGCAAUAUUAAAACUUCCAACUUGGAAAGAUGCCACUUUAGAAAUUUAUUCUUGUGCUUAAAAGGCAAGCUGAUAGUGUAUGAUUAGAUGUUAUUAUUACUCGAUAGAAUAGAAUGAGUGUGAUAGAACAAAUACAUGGUGUCCCGGCUUAGUGCAGUGGUUGAACUAUGAUUGGAGACAAUCCACAGACCAGCUAACUUGUGAUCUAAGAUGAUUAGGAAAUAUACACCCACCAAUCAAAAGCAGAGUAGCAAAUCAAUCAAAGUGGUGGCCCAUAACACGGUCUCUUCACCCAACUACUGCAAUUGCAGCGGACAUCAUCCAUCUAGUCACCUCCCAUAUUUUCUCCCCUACUAAUUUUUAUGCUUAGGCCACAAAUGUCAACUCAUGCCACCAUAGUCCACAGAUGCUAUUAGGUUUCCAGCCUCUUUACAGAAGGGAUGGCACAUGGAGAGGAGGAGAUUAUCAUGGCAUCAGGGAUGGACUUGGGUGGGCUACAAAGCUCCUUUUCUUAGGGGGACAGUUUUGAUUGAUGGAUUCCACACCAAGGAACAAAGGGGUGGAGUACAUCAGUACACGGUUUGGUAUAUAUGCAUGAGAGUGGGGAAUGUAAAAAAAAAUGAUAGAAUCAUACUUUUGGCUACUCGGAAUUGGUGAUCACUUAAUAAAGUACUGAUUCGAUUCCUACGCUGAGAAUCGAAUGCAAAAGGCUAAAUCAAUCACUAAUCAGCGAAACUAAUGCAUUAAUUACUCAAAGGGGUGUUCAUACGUGCAACCCCAAUAUCCAUCGCGAUACUAGUUUUAGCAAUCACCUGCGGAACGGAACGCCUACUAAUUGGUUCGGUUCACAGUUCACACCCGCACACACUAAAAGAUAGUAAGAUCACUGUUGGUACACUACUAGCGCCGCUUUGAGCUGCAUAAGGGAUAUCUCCAAAGCAUUACUCUGCUCGAGAAUGAAACCCAAAGAUGUGAACAACGGCCAUCAAAUCAGCAAGUUGGAGGGGGAAGAUGGAUCAAUCAACCUGCGCAGCUUGUCGGUCGAAAAUAUGCAGCCUGCAGAGGGUGGUGGAAUCUGAGGAGUUAGCAGUGACGACUUCCCAAUUAUUGGGCACACUAACAACUCCAAAUGCUUGUCAGAUGGACCACCCAACCGAGGAGGAUAAACCUCCCACCUAAUUCACCAGGAUGAUUCCAGUGAAGCUGACUAGUCAAAUAGGAAAAGUAAAAAAUAAUUGAGCUUUUGUUUUUCUUCAUUUAUUUCCUCUUUGCUUACUCGAAAGGUGUAAUUUAUAACUCACCACGUCCUGCCUAAUGUCGAAACAGAGAAGCUACAGCAACUCCUGGAAAAGAUGACCUGAGAUAUAUAGGAUGAAGGGUCAUGGAAUGGUACAAACUAUAGCUCAUUGGAUUCUCAGAAGAUCAACAAGACAAUUUUUUUCCACUAUUUCCGGAUCAGAUCACAGCGACGAAAGAGGAGUCACUGUAGGAUUCCAGUGGGUGGUCACACACCCACAUACUAAUUAAGGUCCCCAUGUAUGAAAACGAAAACAGAUUCCUUCAUGUGAACAACGUUUUCUUCUUUUACAAAAGAAUCCACAGCUGGGCAUGCCAAGAACAUUAAUAUUGAAGCCCCCAAACAUGAUAAACCUAACCAUGACCAUGUGCGUGAACCGAAAUAGAAGAAAAGGACUGCCUAGUAAGAGAAGCGGCUGCUAACAAGUUUGAACAAGAAGAGGCAAACAAAGCCAAUUGCAAAUAGUCUAUGAGAGCGAGAGAAAAAGGACACUGAUGCAGUCACCUAUCACUAUAAUUCACAGCUCAUACGGGUGUGGGUUUGCUACCCUAGAAGAAUGUUGGCCUACGGCAACCCUACCGCCGCUUGUUGCCAUUCACACCGCAUUGUCCUCGGCUCAUACUUUCUCAGCUUUAUGAAGGUAUUUUUUUAUUACCGUGAAAAAAAUCCAAAAUUGGGAGGACAUCGUGGAAGGUUAGAGUUGGCAUGGAAAUGCUAUCUGAAAGUGUUCAGCAAACAUCUGUGAACGUUUGGCCCAGCAUGUGCUUCUGCUUUCAACUACAGUCAUAUAUAGUAUAAUAUUUGGCAACUGUAAACGCCGCUAUAAAAAUUAAAUUUAGAUUCUAAGUUCUAGAUGCAGAAGACUCAGUUUUUAGCUCCUAAUUUUGCCACAGAGAAGCUGUCGAAAACAUCUUAAUAGAGUACUCCAUAUAAUAGCUUUACUCAAAAUUACUUCGUCAAACAACAGAGCACUCUAUGGCAGGCCCAAACAGGAAUGGUCUGUUUGGUAUGCUUGGCACUUUACCAACCCCAUUUUAGAGAGAGUUAGAGCUGUUUGCGAUCAAUUUGAUAUCAAUUACAGAAAAUAGAGGUUUCAGUAAAGCCCAUCAAGUUUACUUGAGGAACAGAAGAGAUAGGGUAGAGCAGAGCACACAGUAGAGGACAAGCCGGUUGGAAAAGCAGAAGCACAUGGAGGUAGAACAGGAAAUAUGAUAAAAAUGAAAAGAGAAAAUUUUCUGCAGUUACUAGGGAAACGUUUUUUAAUUGUAUAAUUUACUGCUUUCCGAAAAAGAAAGCAGUUCGAGAAGCAACGCAUAAAAAGCACAUGCAAGUCGAAACCUUCAAACAUUUUAGCCCAAUGAGUAUAUCUGGUUACAAGUAUUCAGUCCCUGAAAGUGAAUGCUCGAAUAGAACAGAAACCUGCAUAUUCCCUACAUCAAACCACUCAACAAUUACAGACUAAUACGAUCUUAAAAGGUGUUAAAAUAUAAGUCGAAAAUAAAAGAAAAUUAGUACCACACAGAGUAAAUUUAGAACCUUAUUCUCUCAGAUUGUGGUCAAAUAUUUGCAGCUGAACUUUCAACCAGCAGAUUACUUGCAGGGGGGAAAGAAAUCACCUAGAGGCACAACAGUACCGACACCAAAAAAAUCUUUCAAAAAGACAUCACGUACAUAUGACAAAGCAUGAUAAGCAUGAUGAAGAAUAUGAUUAGACAACAUUAUUUAGGAAUUUUUAUUUCUUUGAUCCCCUAAAGUGUUCCCCGUAGUAGUAAGCACUCCCAACCAUUAAAGCAACUGUUGCACCCUGAACUACGACACGAGCCCUCAUCAGCUUCUGACCUAAGUGAGAAUUCCCUUGCCUAAAGCUGAUUAGACCGGCUGUGAGGACACCAGCAGUUAAAAGUGCACCUGAGAAACUUUAAUGUUAGAUACGAGAACAAGAAAAAGUUCACCACACUAUUCAUGAUCAGUUUCCUAAUGUAAAAUUCAUCAAAGAGAAAAUUGUUUUGUCAACUGGGGAUAUCAUCUAGAGAAAGGAAACCUAAUUAGAAAUGUUAUCUAUUUCAAUUAGCUUCAAACAUUAUACUGUUACUGGUACAAGUGGUGCUCAAGUGUAACCUAUAAAAACAACUGAAAUUCAUUAGAUUGUUAAUCUUACAAUGUUCCAGAGAUCUUUAGUUUCAUAAAUCAUGUCUUAGAAGUCAAUUAAUUCAAAUCAUCAAAAUGUCCGCUCAAUCAUAACAUCUACUCAUGACUUAUACUCAUUCCUCACAGAGGUUCUGAUAUUCAAAAGCAUAGGAUAGUUGUGCUUGAAAAUUAGGUAUGCCUCUAGUUAUUUCAAUGUUAAAAUUUGCAACUCUGAAUAUAACAAAAGAUGUCAACCUGAAAAAAGUUGAAUCUGAAUAUAACAAGCAAUAUACAGACCGGGAAAGGACAACAAAACCAUAAUCAGUUAAUCACACAUAAAUUAUACUUUUCGACCAAGCUAAAUUUGACAACUCAAAAGGACAUAAUCUCCGCAUCAAAACAACUCAUAUCGCUUUAGAAUAUAGUCAUUUGUUGACAUGAGAUCCGAUAAACCCAUACCAAAGAAACAACAUUAAGCACAUCCAAGAAACCAAGAGUAUCAUGAUAUUUCUAAACAUAAUCAUGUCCUCUCUUACUGGAAAAAGGUGACUAAUUGCAUUACAUUGAGCUAAUGAUUUCCCAAAACAAAUAAUCAUAACAAAUAUGAACAAGGUCUAAACUCCAUGUGUUUAAUAUAGAGCAAAUGAAAGUGUAGCCAAUUGUUCUUAACAUAGUCAAGUGCACACGAAAUCUGAGAUAUCAGAUGUCUUUUUUCUUGCCUCAAGUUUGUAUUACAAAUGCCACAAGAGAUAUGAAGAUAUCAAACAGAUAUUUUGUUGCCUCAAGGAGUCAUGAAGCUUCAUCCUCUUACACACACACACACACACACACACACACACACAGAGAGAGAGAGAGAGAGAGAGAGAGAGAGAGAGAGAGAGGGUGAAGGAAAGGAGGAAAGGUGAAGCAGUCACUGUGCGAAACAAAGUGCAAGUAGUCAAGAAAUUUAAAGUUGUUGCACAAUAAAUUCUGGCUGUAGGAAAUAGGCAGAGAUUAGCUUAAGCCUUUAAGCUACUUCAGGAGGUGAACAUAGGAACACUCCUCAAAGAGAUAAGUUUUUCAAGCAUCAUAAAUACAUGGUGAGUUCAUGGGUUGUCACUUGGGAUUUCUUUUAUUUGACUAGCCACCAAAUAAUUUCAAACUUUCAACUUUUAACAUUACCUUAGAGCCCUCUAAGAACCUUUAGAAAAAAAAAAACCUAGUAAUUCUCUUCUUUAAUGACAUGUAAAUAAGAAAUACACUAGGAGAUGAGGAAGCAGCUCAGGCAAUUAUUUGAUCACUACCAAGGGAACUAGUUAAAUGCAAAGGUCAGUUUUUGUCUUGCUCCCAUGAUCAUUCCUUAAGAUUCCACUCAUGCAGGAUUCAGAAUAAGAAAGUGGCAGUCCUCUAAGGUACACAGCCGACGUAGCAGAUUAAGUUAUUAUAGAAAGUAAUACUAGCAAGUUACUUCAAAAAGGGUUGUUGAAGGAGUCCUAGAACUUUUGCAAGUGCGGGAAGAUCACACGAAUAUAAAGAACAAGUAUCACCAAAUCUAUAGGGCUCUUUUGAACAUUCAGCUGCUAAGGUAAUCCUGACAAGCUACUAGAACAAGUUAAAGAUAUAUGAAACCAUUAAAUGUCUCCCUAAUAUGUUUCCAUCAUUAUUGUUUUGACAAGGCCUGUUGAACGACCUUCUAAGGUAGCUUCAUUUCCACGACAUUUUCAUUUAAAGAGCACAUUACAGCGAAAUUCUAGAUUGCAUCACCAACUUUACUCGUAUAAAAAGUAAAUAUAUGAACCCAUUAAGAACCAAAGAUUUGAAAAGUGCAAAAAUUUAAUUUAAUAUGACAUGGUGAUGGAAGAGACUAAUCCUAAUCAAUUUUGUUCGUAAAUAAAAUACUACUAGCAGACAACGUUCUCGAGCGAAAUGGUGAAUAAACGGAAGUAAUACCUUAAAUCUUUGCAGUGUUUAGAGUCUUUAGACCCUAAGCAACUGACAAAAUUUCCCAAAUAUAACAGAAUCAAUUUUACGGCACCGCUCUGGUAGAGCCAAUAAUAUAGGUUCUCUGUGACAUAAGAAUUAUCACAAGCUGUUACUAGUUUUUCAAGAAUCAUAACCGCGACGCAUCAGAAUAACCUUCACUAGAAUUCCUGCAUAUUCUCCAUAAACUAACUGACACAAGCGACCCCUCCUUAUUACAAGUAGCUCAAAUAACAGGUUUCUAUUAUGUGCACAGCAAUGGGAGAAAAGUAGCUAAGAGUAAAUCAUACUUAAAUCAUAUCAUAUCAAUAUACUUAUUUGCCAAAAAACUAAUGAUGCAAUUACCAAAAACACAACGAAAUCGUAAUCAAAAUUAAGGGAAAAAACUUCUAAACUUUAGAUUUUACCAAUUAGGGCAAAGUAACAACAACCGGGACAAGCCCUAACACCCGAUUAUACGAUCGUAUGAAUCAAAAAUCUACGAAAACGAGAUGAGAAAAAUAGGUUUGGAUCAAGGAAUUUGAGGAGAGGGGGGGAGAUACCGAUGGGGACGAGAGGGUUCUUGACGCGCUUCUUCUGAGCGAGGAGAUCUUCGAUUUGGGAGUCGGCGGCCCCCAUCUUCUCCAUUCGCUUCGAUCCGAGUCGAUCUCGCAGGGGGAGGAAAAAUUGGGCGAAUCGGAGUUGGACCACUUUGGCUCUCGUGGCUCCGCGGCCGUAGACGUGCACCUCGGAGGAAGUGGACCAGUGUCGCCGCUCUAGCGGUACCUUUCACCUGGACCCGGCCCACCACGUCACUUUGGCUCUCGUGGCUCCGCGGCCGUAGACGUGCACCUCGGAGGAAGUGGACCGGUGUCGCCGCUCUAGCGGGACUUAUCGCCUGGACCCGGUCCACCACGUCACCCCAAAACCCUUCCAUAUUUUGAAGGUAAAUAUGCACGGAGGACCCCUCCGCUGUAUCCCUUUUGAAAUCGACCCUCGGCUUUUUGAAGGAUUUUAGCAUAAAAUUAAGAACUUUUUUAAAUCAUUGGUGAUUUUAUGGAUAAUUUAAAUUAUUUUUCGGUAAAAUAAAAAUUAAAUCUAUUAAUCAUCAAUAAUGCUAAAAUGUUAUGAAAAUUUUAAGUUAGUGAGUGUAAAAUGCAAAUAAAAGAUAAAAAAAUAUGGAGAUUUUAAUCAAAAUAAUUAAGAAAUCUAUGGCCUACAGAUGAAUCCUAGACAAAAUAAACGUUAACCGGUGCUCAUUUUAUUUAACAACAUACUGCAUGUAAAUUUUAUACCAUCGCUUACCCUGUAAUUUAUAAACAUCUUAUAGAUUUUUAGUAUUUUAAAAAUAAAUAUAUAUAUAUGAAUGAAUAUCCUUAUGAAAAGUUAUAGUUUCAUCGGCACUCCUCCAAAAUUUAAAACAUUGUUAACCUCUUAAUAACUAUCAAAAACAUUUUUGAAUGUCUUCAUUCAAAUUUGAUGGUUUAUAUCUGAAGUUUCGUUUUUACCCUCCAGUAAACUAAUGACCUAGCAAGCUUGCCACCAAAAGAGUAAUUUUCAUGAUUUUAAAAGAAAGUUUAAAAUAAAUAAUUUAAUAAAAUGAAAGUGAUAGAUUUACACACAUUACGUAAUAAUUUAAAAAAUUCAUACUAUAAGCUACAAAAUUGAAAAUUAUAUUCUAAAUAAAAAUUUUAAAAAAUAAUAUGUAUGAACAUAUCGCCCUGCCAACUACCAAGGAUAUUUAAGGGUAAAAUAGUUAAUUCAUUAAUGUGAUUAGUAUAAGUAAAGGGUAUUUGUGAUAAAUUUAUAUAUUAAUGUUCUAAAUUUUGAAAGAAUAUUUAUAAAAUUUUAAAACUUAAAAGGACAUGUUUGAAAUUUCUUCUUUAAAUUUUUUUUAAAAAAUUAUUUAUACGCCUCAAAAUGAGUAUAGAUUUUACACCUCCCAACCUAAGAUCCACGAAAAUCUAAAAAAAAAAUUAGUAAAAUAAAUGAUAUGACAAAUAAAAAGAAAAUGUAAUAACUCUACACAUAAUAAAAUGGAUAAAAGGUUAAGUCUUUAUAAAUGAAUAUAGCUAUGAAUAAAAGGGCAAAAAUUGUACGGACAUAGCGUCCAAAUUAGUAUUUUUGGGGACAUUCUAGAUGGACGCCGUGUGCUCGCAGGCGUCCAUCCCAACGUCCUUUUUUCUACUUUUAUUUUUUGUCUCUCUCUAAAAAAAUUAUAUUUUUUAAAACAAAAAUAGAACAGUGGGAUAGAUGCAUACGAGCCAUGUGGCACCUAUCCGGAUCGACCCAAAAAUAUUAAUGUGGACACUGUGUCCACACUAUUUUUGCCCUGAAUAAGAUUGAUACUUUAUGAAUAAAUGCUCUUUUAAAAAACAACGGGCCUGAUUUAGACGACUUUAGAAAAAUAAUAUCAACAACAACGUGUUAAAUUUAAUCAAAAUAAUUUAACUUGGAUAUGAUGUCAUUAACAAGGGUUUUAUAUUUUUUUUUAGAAAUAGUUAGUACGCUAUCCGUUUCGUUUAUUUCAUUUAGAAAUAAAUUUAGCUAAAAAUAUGAAUCAACUAAAAUUUAAAUUUAAGUCUCGAGUACCAAUCAAUAAAUGUUUUGUCACUUGCUCUAGAAGCGGUCCAUAACAAGAGUUUUAUGUUAAGAUUGUUAAGUUAGAUAGUUUCAUUAUUUUCGGUGAUAACUCAGAUUCAAUGAAUCUGAUUUUAGCUUCUAAUUUCUCGUGUUUUGUACCGAUCCGGCCUGAUGAUUGGACGGCACGGCGGCGCGCAAUCGGACGGACUAGAUCUUCGGGAAAAGCACAUCUACGCUAAUCACAGCCCUUCAAUUAUAAUAUAUUAAAAAUUCGAGGAAAUCAAAAUAAGACGACGCACUCUCCUCGCUCGCUGUGCUUUGCGUCAACUGCUACACAAAUUCUCUUCCCCCGAUUCUCUUUAUUUCCCUUCUUAAAAAAAAAAAAAAAAAAAACUCUUACUCGAAGAACUAGGGAUUGGGGAAGCGUUCCAUCGCCCCUGGGGCCGUUGAUGCCCUAAGGGACGUAUUAUUUCGGAUCGGGGAUUGGAAUUUGAGGAAGUGUUCUUGGUAAGAUCCUUUUAUUAGAAUGGGAAUUUCAGAGAUUGUUGAAUUCUAGGAUUUUUCUUUAUUUUGUCCUUAAUCCCUUUCCAUGGAGAACUGUUCUUGGUUUUAACUAGGGUUUUGGAGCCUUUUAUUAUGGCUACUCCUUUUUCUAUCUAAAGAGCAUAGGAAGAAGAUUUUUUGUUGGUUUUUUGGGCGGAAGAGUUGAAAUUUUGGUUAGAAUAUUCCCGGGGAUCUUGAGAAGGAAGUUUAGUCUAAAAGGGAGAAUUUUGCCCUUUUUUUUGUGAAAAAAGGUGGUUUUGUUUGGAAAAAUGGUCGGUUAUUGUAUUUUUUGGGGGGGGGGGGAAUUGAUUGUUUAAUUCCGCAAUUUGUCGAAGAGGAACUUUUCUGAUCAAUUUGUUUCUGACAAAGAUAGGAUUUAUCGUUUAAAAAGCUUUUUUUUUUUUUUGGAGAAAACUAGGUUUGAUUAAAUUUGAUCUUUUCUGUGGCAAAAAUAUCUAGGAUUAAAGCGGGUUUCUCGAUUUAAAAUGUCAGUAGCUUUCACCCGCCUCUCUCAUUUCCUAUGGGGAAAAAAAGAUCAUGAGAAAACCACCAAUACCUCUCUUCCCGAUUUCCCAUCCGGAUACAGGGAGCCGGAUUCCGUCAAAUUCUCAUCAGUUAAUGGCCCGAGGGCGCAGUCGUCUUCUAGAAGGAUCAAGAAAAACUGGCAGAGGCAGGAGGAGCAGAUCGAUAGGGAAUUUGAUGUAGUUAUUGUACCCUCGGACGGUGGAUGCAUGUCGGGGUGGGAAUCGGAUGAUUCAGAUGGUUCUGAUUGGUCGGUCGGGUGGUUGGAGCCUCAUGCACACGAAUUCCAGUGCGAGACAGAAUCCGAUAGCAGCUUUGCUGUCUUGGUCCCUUGCUAUCGGCGCGGGAUCGGCAAGCCGGAGAAGAGUGUAAAAAUUCGUUCUUUGGGCGCGAGUAAUCUCUCUGGUUAGUGAACUUUAACCGGUAUCGACUUUAUAUCUGCUGAUAAUUUGCUUUGCAUUGUUUAUAUUUCCAGCAUUCUAGUACUUGUUGGAAUAUCAAAUUCCUGCAGUAAUUCUCCACAUAUGUGCUUAAUAACCUGACCAUGUACUAUAGGAGAAAUUAUUGGAUACACCUUGGCAUUUAGACGACAAGAAUAUUUAUGAGCAAACAGUUCUUGCUAAUACCAUUUUGGCCGGGACUAAAAUUCCCUGGCGCAUGACCUGGCAGAUGUGGAAUUUCAGUACUGAUUGACAUCCAUCACAUAUUUUCCUAUUAAAGGUUAAAAUUUUGAAAUGCUCAAUACAUUUAGGCUCCAUUUGGAUGUUGGAACAAUUUAUUUGGUGAUAACGCUAGCAGUGUGAGGUUUUCGUUUUGCGAUUGCAACAUAGGGGUUUGAUUUAUGUUCACUGUAAAGCCCUCAUAGUCAUGAUUUUUGAGAGUAGUCUGUUCGACCUACAAGGUGAUUUAUCAUAAUGAUGGGAAGAAAUAAGCAAUUUAGAGAUUUUAUGUGUUUAUUGACAUCUUUUCUCAUACUCCCAUUGACCAAUAACUAUCACAAGCCUCUUUAAGUCUGCAAAAGAUAUAUGUGAAACAACAUAUGCAUGCAUCCAAAGAGGUCCUUUAAGCAAUGUGGUCAAACUGUUGGGAUAUUUUAAGAUUACCGAUCACUCGCACGGUGCAACUCUUUUAUCUCCGUUGCUGGUGUAUCAGAUAUUAUGAGCUGAUCCUUGAAGUUGGCCUAACACAGAGGAAAUAAGGUUUUCCGAUUUGUAAAGAUUAAUUGUUGACGUAAGCACCUAAAUAGUGACUUCAGGUAUUCUCUGUUGCUGUUUGGAUACAUGGAUUCACAAUUUUCUCCUAUCACAGUAAAUAUAAUAGCCUUUUAAACUUGGUGCUGGUUUUGGAGGAUAGUCAAACAAUUUACUCUACAAACUUGUAAGUUGAUACUUCAUUUUUCACCUUAACUGGUCCAAGCUAGCACAUUUUGUUCUUUGCCUUUUGCUGAUCUUAUCGGAAAUAUGUUUGUCCCUCUUAACCACAUGAGCUAACAUGUUAACAUAUGUUCGUAAAAAAGAUGAGAGUUUGGCAUAAAUAGGUGAUGUUUUUAAGAUUGAAGCUUAUGAGCUUCUGAUAGUCUACCUUCUCUACCUUCUUAGAUUAUUUCAUGGAUUUAAAAUAGCAAGCUAUUGAGAAAUUCUCAAAUCCUUGAAAUGGCAUGAGCUAGUUUAUUAGGCAUGGAAUACAUUCUAAGAUAGGCACUUUAUUGGUUUUGUGAAUGGUUCUUGCUUAUUUUAUAGUUGAUUUCGUGGUAAUUGAAUCUUUUUUAUUUUGAAGAAGAAAUAAAUCCUUUUUUUUUUUUGUUUUACAUGAACUGAACUCAUGGACGUGUAUGCCGUCUUCAUUGCCUAUAUCUAUUGGGUUCUGGAUAUAACUGUUUGAUGGAUUGAACAAUAUUCUGGCAAGCACCUUUAUACAGGGGCAUGUUGCCUUAGGAGACAGAAAAGUUUAUUUACAUUCAUUUAGCACUUGAUGCAGUUUGUGCUAAGUAACUUGGAAGCUCCUCCAGUUUCCCUUUUUAGGUGUUUGUGUUGCUUGCUUAAAUUCUGCAGCUUUUGUACCUCCUUUUUGUUUUCUUUUUUCUUUUUUACUUUUUGCCUGUGUUCUGAGAUUGUUCUAGCAAAGAUUGUGCGCUGGUUCACUGUGGCAUCUCCAAUAUGAGGAUAUUUGUUGGUGACUCCUCUUCUUGGGAGAUGCUUGCACUUGUUUUUAUUGCUUCUUUGUUGCACUGACACGUUGUAGCUAGGCAUAAUUACAAUCUGCUGAUACCUGCAUUUGAAACUUACUGCAUUUUAUUGCUUCAAAUUCCUUCCGAACUUGUGAUAAUGCUUAAUCUAAUUAUAUUAAACAGCUACACUUCUCACAAUCUUGUAUAUUCUUUUUAUGCAGAGGGCAAGAGUUUCAUAGAACAGUGGCUUUCUUCUCUUCAGAACUCCUAAUGCCGCGAAAUACUGCCCAUCUGGUCUAGUCCAUUCAUUCUUUUCCAUUACCAAUUAUACCAGGUCGCGGAAAGAUUACGACAAAAGCAAAGGGAGCAGCAGGGGUAAUUUUAGGAUCUUUAGAUGGAUAUGCAUCUCUCCCGGCAAGGCUUAAGCAAAGCUCCAAGAGGCUUGCUUUCUCAUCAUAGGUCGAGAUUCUUUUAGAGGAUUAUUAAAGUGGUGAUUGUUUUACAUAGUGCAUUUGCUUUUUGCCUCCAUUCGGGGAUUUACUCUGCUAUUGGUACUGUAAUAUGAUUGUAAAUACAUUCUUAGUAAAUAUCACCAUAGUUAUGGAGCUCAUAUUUUCGCAAUUUCUCAUUGUUUGAUUUGGUUAUAGCUGAAAGUGAAACACCUGGUAGCCUGGUUGGUGAACCCCUGUACUUGGUGAAUCUAUUUUUGCUCUUCUGCCAUUACUUCUCCAAUGAUUUUAGUUUAUAUAUAUAUAUAUAUAUAUAUAGAACUAGGCUACUAUGCUAUUAAUAGCACCAAGUCAUUGGUGCUAUCAAGUUUUGCCAGUUAUGAUUACCUUCUUUUAAAUUUCAAUCCCGUCGAAUUAUACGAUUCACCAGCCACCCACAUCAAAGCCCUAGGCCCAAGUCAUUUCUAACCAACACCACACAUUUUUUUAUCCAAGGAUAUAAAUUUAAUCAGCACCAAUUAUGUGCUAUUAAAUAUAUCGCAGCCUAGUUCUAUAAUAUAUAUAUUAAUAUAUAUAUAUAUAUAUAUAAUAGAGGAGAGAGAGAGAGAGAAAGAGAUGAGAGAGCAGAGAGAAGUAGAGAGAGAAGGAGGAGAGAGAAGGAGAGAGAUGGACUGUGGCUCUCCAGGAGGCACAGAGCCUCGUGCCCUGAGCCAUUUCGAUGAUGGAGUCCGAUCGACGAUUCGGUUCCGUUAAAACUGAUCUACUAUUGAAAAGUUGCUAGAAAAAUAAUUUUCGUGCUGAUUUUCGCAUACUCAUUUACCGAAAAAAAAAAAAAAAACUAGCAAUCGAAAAGGAUCAAAAUCAAUAAAUUUUUAACUGGUUGUAAAAUAAAUCCUAUAAAGUGAUAUAUCACUGAACUAAAAUUUUGAAUCAGAAAUAUUGAUCUUCUUUGUAGAUAGAUAAAAAAUUUGAUAUCAAAAAUUUUAAUCUGAUUUGAAUACUUCUACACUGUUAAACUUGAAAAACUGGCAGAUAAUCAACAAUUAAAAUUAUGAGAUUUGAAUCUUUCUCGAUCACUAGGUAAAUUAUACAAAAAUCGCAAAAUUAUUUAAUUAAAACUCUAAAUGCGCUAGACAAGUUCUAACGAAGCCGAUCGUUUCGAUUUGAAAGCUUGCUAUCAUCGAAAAAACCGGCUCAGGAGCACGGAGCCUCUGGGUCUCCUGAGACAGCAGGUCAGGCUCCUUGCUUUAUAUAUAUAUAUAUAAUAUAUAUAUAAUAGAUUAUGAGUGAGGCUAGAAUGCUAAUCGGAACACUAAGCGAGGCCUCCGUGCUCCAGCUCGUUUUCGGAUGUUCGACUUCGAAUCGUCGAUCAAGCUCCGUUUAAAAUCUGAUCUAGAGUAUUGAAAGAUACCUAGAAAUAAAAUUUUUUAUGAUUUAGCAUAUCAUUGCCUAGUGAAGCAGAAGGGGCUCAAAUCAACAGCUGAAAUAAAAAUCUUACAAAAUGAAUAAUAUGACAUUAAAAUUUAAAUCAAAAUAUUGAUCUGUUAUAUAGAUAAAGAAUUUCUAUCAAAAUUUCACGUAUUGAUAUUUCCUACACACCACGUUAAACUUCAAACGGCUCACUAUCGUGCCCAUGAAAUUUGUUGAUUUUGAGCCCAUUCGAUCACUAGCAAAUGAUACGUAAAACUCAUAAUAAAAUUUAUUUUCUAAGUACGUCAAAUAACUCUAGAUCAAGUUUAACGAGCAUCGAUCGACGAUUACGAAAGUCGCAACAUCGAAAACGAGCUGGCAAGCACGGAAGAUCCGGCUUCCAGAUAGCAUAAGUACUCACGUCUAUAUAUAAUAAUAUAUAUAGUAGAUAUAGUAAUAUAUAUAUAUAUAUAAUAUUAUUUAAGAAUUCAUCAAAUCGCCAAAAUCAAGUCUAACAGCCGAUCGUCGCUUUUGAAAAUUCUACUCAUCGAAAACGCUCAAGGUGCCCUGAGAGCAUAGCGCAUACAUUUUAAAAAAAUAUAUACGUAUUUUUAAUUUGCUUUUUUUAUGCAUAUCUAUACUACUUAUAAAAGAGGAAGUUUUAAAAUUUUUUUCUUUCCUAAAAUGUCGGUCCCUAUUAAUAUAAUUCCAAUCACAUACUAGCAAUAUCAUUCAUUCAACUUUAAUGGAAUAAAUCACAGCCGUACAAUUUUUAUUUUAUUUUUAAAUUAUCAUAAAAUAUAUUAAUUCUUAGUCAUUAGAUCUAAUCCAAUGGCUGACAAAUUAAGUAUCUGUCACUUUUUUUACCUAAAUUGCCCUCAAAUAGUGCGUAUCAAAUUUCACUUUUUAUAUGCGUACCAUAUCUCCUAAUAACCAUCACCUACAUAAUACCAUAUUUUAUCACAAAUAAUAUUCGCAAUCUACGCGUUUUUUAAAUAUUUCCUUUCUUACACGUAAUAUCUACCACCUACAUAAUAUCCAAUCACGUAAUACCUUCCGCAUAUAUAAUAUUUAAUCAUAUAUUUUUAAAAGUGAAUUUACAAUUUAAAAAUUUAAAUUUGUAGAUAAAUGUGAUUCACAAAUUUAUAUUGAUUUGAAAUAAUUAUUAAAUAAAAUAGUUGUUGACUAGGAAAAAAUAUUGCAUUCCAUUUGCAAUAAUAAAAAAAAAUCAUACUUAUCCAAAUUUUUGUCAUCCGAAGAAUAUCUACUACAGAAUAUUUUUCACAAGUACCUCAUAAAAGAAUAUCCAUAUUCAAAAAAAAAACGAAAAUCUCUACGCAAACAUUGAAAAUAUUUAGUAUCCACUAUCUCUCAAUUAACAAACUAAAAAAAAAAUUUAGGUUUAAAAAAUAGAAUGAUUUAAAUAAGCUUAUCAAAUCAACUUUAAAUUUUAAAUUGGUUCAUAAUUUCAAAUGUGAAUUAAUAUUUUAAUUCAAAAUUUGAAAUUAAUUAAAAUUUCAAUAUUUGGGUGUGUAAACAAUAUUUCAAAUUGAAAAUAAUUAAUUAACUUGAAAAUAUAUCAAAUUUGAAAAAUAGAUGGAAUGAUAAAUAAAUCAAUGUCUCUAAUAAUUAUUUACAUUCAAAUUACGGAUUCAAAAUUAACUUCAAAUUUUGAGUUUUGUUCAUAAAUUUAAAUCUGAAUUCUUAAAUUUAAAAUUUAGAAUUACUUCAAAUUUUUAAAAUUUGGAUACACAUUAAAAAAAAUUAAAGUUAAAAAAAUUAAUUGAUAAAAAGAUUUAUACCACCAAUAAUUAUUUAAAUUUAAAAUAUAAAUAUAAAUUUAAUUUAAUUAAAUAUGACGUGCAUCGCACGUGCACUAUAACUAGUAUAUAUAUAUAUAUAUAUUAUAUAUAUACUAUAUAGACUUGAGCUCCCGAAACCUGUUUUUUUUUUUUUUUUUUUUUUUUUUUAAACACAUUCAAUUAGUGCAACCACCCACCUCUGGCAAAAUUUACGUAUGCUUCCCCUGUAUCUGGUUCGGCCAUGACUCCUAAUUCACUUUGUUACUAAAUUCAGAACACAUCGUAAUAAAUUUUCUGCGAAAAGGGUUUUGGGAUUAUAACCAUUAUUUGUAAAAUUCUGUGAGAAAUUUGAGUAUUCCAAUCCUACUUGGAUAUAUGAACACCGGAGGUAUGUUAAUUUUUUUAGCAUUUGACAACCCAAAAUGUAGUUAAAUUGAAGACAAGCAAGGUAUUAAUCCUUUUAUAUUAAUUCUUCCAUAAAAAAAUAUUUAAAAAGAUCAGGCUGGGAUCCAUGUCCUUGAGAACUCGAUAUUUCCCUUUCUUGUUGAUUCGAUGAACAACAUACUUUUCGGAAGUACCGCAGUAAGCAAAGCAAACAUAUCCCAGCGAAGAGCAUUUGAAAUAUAUAUUUUUUAAGUAGCUAAAACGACAGCACAUGUUUCCUGUACUUUGAUAAACGUUCUCACCCUUAACUACAGUGGAAGCUCUUUGACCGCUUUUCAAACAAAAUUCAAUAUAUGCGAGAAAAAGUCUUUAAUUUACCAUCAAAUAUGGAAAUAACAGAAUGGUACUUUCCAAGUUUGAAUCUAAGUACUUCAUUUAAGUUCCUAAGGCCUGAUGGGAAUUACUUUUUUCAAAAAAGGCAAGGCAAAUAGUUUAACAUCUCUCUUAAUCAAAAAAAGGAACGACACUUCCCAUUUUAUCAACAAAAUACAUAUAUAUAAAAUAUAUGUUGAGUAUCGUUUUUUUAAGGCCAGUUCAAAAUUAAUCAACAUGAAAGUGAUAACCUAACCAGGAUAUCAAUCCUGAAGAGUGAGCUGAUAGUACUCAUAUCUUGCCAACUAAAAUAUUAUCGACAUAUUCUGAGGGCACCAAUGCCUUUGGGGAACUGUUCAUCUCGAAAACCAAUCAAGGAUCAAUCAAACCAAUCAAACCUAACACCUAACAACAAACAAUAAAUAAAAUAACAAUCACCGUAAAACCCACCCUAUUAGGCUAUUCAAACCUAACACUAAACAAAAACAAUCACCAAAACAAAUCCAAUCUACUACAAAUAUCGUACUAUAUGUAUAUACGACAACCUCCGAUAAUUAAUGCAUCGAUCGCUUUAUCACGAAAGCUGCUACGUACGAACAUACGAACCGCAGGUGUAUAUAUAGGUAUAUAUAUACCUAGUACUAUAUUUUUAUACCCUCUAAAUCAACCCAAAUAAUAAGUAUAAUCAAUGGUCAUGGCAAUGCACAAAUUGGCGAGCGCUUUGAGCUAAGCGCACGCGCAACCCUGAGCGGAGUGUAUUCGGCGGUCGAACGUGCAGAGCCCGCUCCGUCCGGCAUGUCGCGGCCCGCCGGGACGAGCCUCCGAAGCUCCCAGUCCCUUGCCUCUGCAGGCGCGACGACCGAAACGACGCGACGACAAACAUCGACUGGCUCACCCGCCGAAAUGGCUGGCGGCAAUAUUUUUCUGUGCAGUCUCCCCGCCGCACGCCGACCGCGGUGCGCGUGGGAACGGCGCGGCGCUCUCCGGCUGCUGAACGUGAAUGGGCAUCUGCGCCAUUCGAGAGGGUUUGUGUAAUGGUUUUUGAUGGAGAGAGAACGUGAGAUGGCAUCGAGGGGAAGGGUGGAUGUUCAUAGGAGAGGGGGGUGUAGUGAAGAAUUAAGGGACUGGGGAUGGGGCGUGGUAGGUUUGUCGUCGUUGGCGCGAUCGGAUGGCGUGGGUGGCGAAGGGGACACACGCGUGGAAGCCACGUCUUGUCCGGCGCACCGUGUCCUGACAGCCUUUCGCACGUGUAUUACAGCAGCGGGUUACGCUCCCGCUCCCAGAUUUCUGGAUUGCUGCUGCCUGGUGCCGUAAAUUCAGCCUUCUGUUUUGUAAAGACAGCUUGUAUUUGGCUUUAAGUCCUAACGUCCUUUGUUUAAUAAAAGGCGAUUACCAAAAGCUGUAAUCAAUUCAUUUGUAUUCCAGCCUUGAUAUAAACUUUUAUAUAUAUAUAAAUAUAGGUAUAUACGCCUGAUACCUAUAUAUAUAGUAUACUAUAACUAGAUACUAUAUUAUAUAUACUAUAACUACUAUACUAAUACCGUCAGGUUUAUUGUGCCAUUAAAAAUACAAUAGUUCUUAUGCUCCUAACUUUUUAAAUAUUGAUCAUUCAUCAAUAUUGAUAGAUGAUUAUAGUGAUAAAGAGAAGAAAAAUUAUGAAGAAAUUAAGUGUCUCAAUUUUUUUUUUCUCUUUAAAGUUUUUCUCAAUUUAUCUUUUCUUUCAUCCGAACUAUCCAUCAAAAUUAAUGAAUGAUUAAGAAGCUAGGAGUAUAAGAAUUAUUGUACUCUUAAUAACACAGUAGUUUUACUCUCUCUCUCUAUAUAUAAUUAUGUUACUAUAUUAUCGAUAGCAUCAAGCGUUUGGUGCUAUCGAGUUUAAAGGAUGUGUGGUUAGAACAAUAGUGGUGUUCGGUUAAAAUAAUAGUGAUCUCCUAUGAUUGAGUAGAUGGUUGAUUGAAUAGUAUAAUCUAAUUGAUAGAAAUGAUCACAGUGUAGAUCUAACGAUCGAAAACUCGAUAGUAUCAGGAACUUAAUAUUAUCGAUAGUAUAAUAGCCAGAUUCUAUAUAUAUAAAGAAAGAGAGAGAGAGAGUCCGGCUGAGAUACUAUCGAUGGCACCAAGGACUUUGUACUAUCGAGUUUUUUACUGUUAGAUUUAACUAUUUGAUUAUUUGUAUCCGUUAAACUAUUCAACCAACCACCCAUUCAACCCUAGGGGACCCACAUCAUCCAAACUGUAUAUUUUUCAAUUCAAGGGCUAAAUAACUAAUAGCACCAAUAAUUUAGUGUUAUUGAUAGUAUUCCAGCCUAGUUUUAUAUAUAUAUAUAUAUAUAUAGAGUUGAGCUAUGAUACUUUUACAAGUAUCACCAUCAUGGUGCUAUUAGGUUUUAAGCCAUUGGAUCUACUUUUUGAUUAUUAAUAGCCCUUGGAUUAAACACUAUUCCACCUACCACCACCUAUCACCACCUACUACCAUCAUCUCAACCUCACAUCUCUCUAUCCAAGGGCUAAAAACACACAAGUAUCACCCCCAUGAUACUUUUACAAGUAUUCUAGCCCUACUCUCUCUCUCUCUCUCUCUCUCUAUAUAUAUAUAUAUAUAAUUUUUAACUAUCAACAAAAUAUCAAUGAUGUACCAUCUUUAUAUCGCUGCGGACCGGAAGCCUUUUUGUUAAAAAACAACAAAAGAAGGUGAUAUAGAUUUUCGGAAUGUUAUUUUUAUAGUUAGUUGAUACGUCGGCAGCUAUGACGUGGAUAAUCUUGUCGAUUAAUUAAUAUAAAUAUUCUAAAAUGGUGCAAGGAUUUAUCAACACGUUAGCUAUUCAAAGAUGUCUUAUUUGUAGGGGAAAUAAUAUUUUAUUAAUUUUGUGAGACGCAUCAAAAGAUCCUUGCUGAGGGNUAGUGCAACCACCACCUCUGCAAAUUUACUAUGCUUUCCCCUGUAAUCUGGUUCGGCCAUAUCUCCUAAUUUCACUUUGUUACCAUUCAGAACAAUCGUAAUAAAUUUCCUGGCGAAAGGGUUUUAGGGAUUAAUACCAUUAUUUGGUAAAAAUUCUGUGAGAAUUUGAGUAUUCAAUCUAUUGGAUAUAUGAACACGGGUAUGUUAAUUUUUUUUAGCAUUUGACAACUCAAAAUGUAGUUAAAUUGAAGACAAGCAAGUAUUAAUUCUUUUAUAUUAAUUCUUCAUAAAAUAUUUAAAAGAUCAGGCUGGGUCAUGUCCUUGAGACCUCGAUUAUUUCCUUUCUUGUUGAUUCGCAUGACAACAUACUUUCGGGAAGUACCAGUAAGCAAAGCAAACAUAUCCAGCGAAGAGGCAUGAAAUAUAUAUUUUUUUAAGUAGCUAAAACGAACAGCACAUGUUAUCCUGUUACUUUGAUAAAGUUCUCACUUACUACAGGGAACUCUUUGACCCUUUUCAAACAAAUUCAAUAUAUGGAGAAAAAUCUUUAAUACAUCAAAUGAAAUAACAAGAAUGGUACUUCCAAGUUUGAAGUACUAAGUACUUCAUAUUAAUUCCUAGCUGAUGGGAUUACUUUUUUUCAAAAAAGGCAAAGCAAAUAGUUAACUAUCUUUCUCUUAAUUAAAAAGGAACGACACUCCCAUUUAUAUCAAAAUACAUAUAUAUAAAAAUAUGUUGAUUAAUCGUUUUUUUAUAGCCAGUUCAAAUUAUCAAACAUGAAAUGUGAUACCUAACAGGAUAUCAAUCCUGAAGAGUGAGCUAUAGUAUCAUAUCUUCCAAACUAAAAUAUUAUCGACAAUAUUCUGAGCACAAUGCCUUUGGGACUGUUCAUCUCAAACCAAUCAAAUCAAUCAAACCAAUCAAACCUAACACUAACAAAAACAAAUAAUAUAAAAACAAUCACCAAAACCCACCCUAUUAGGUAUCAAACCUAACACUAACAAAAACAAUCACCAAAACAAAUCAAUCUACUACAAUAUUGUAUAUAUGUAUAUAGAAACUCCGAUAAUUAAUGCAUCGAUCGCUUUAUCACGAAACUGCUACGUACGAACAUACGACCCAGGUGUAUAUAUAUAUAUAUAUAUAUAUAUAUAUACCCUCUAAACAACAAAUAUAAGUAUAAUCAAUGGUCAUGGCAUGCACAAAUUGGCGAGCGCUUUGAGCAAGCGCACGCGCAACCUGAGCUGGAAGAUGUAGUCGGCGGUGCACGUGAAGAGCCGCUCCGCCGGCAUGUCGCGGCCGCCGGGGACGAGCCGCCGAAGCUCCAGCACCUUCCUCUGCAGCGGCGACGACGACGACGACGACGACAACAUCGACGGCUCACCGCCGAAUGCUGGCCGGCAAUAUUUUCUGUGCAGUCUCCCCGCCGCACGCCGACGGCGGUGCGCGUGGGAACGGCGCCGGCGCUUCUCGGCUGCUGAACGUGAUGGGCAUCUGGCGUCCAUUCGAGAGGGUUUGUGUAAUGGUUUUGAUGGAGAAGAGAACGUGAGAUGGGGAUCGAGGGGGAGGGUGGUGUUUAUAGGAGAGGGGGUGUAGUGAAGGAAUUAAGGGAGCUGGGGAUGGGGGCGUGGGUAGGGUUUGUCGCGUUGCGCGAUCGGGAUGGGGUGGGUGGCGAGGGGGACCCACGCGUGGAAGCCACGUCUUGUCCGGCGCACGUGUCUGACAGCUUUCACACGUGUAUUACAGCGGGUUCGCCCGCUCCAGAUUUCUGGAUUGCUGCUGCCGGUGACGGCAGUAGAUCGCAUCUGCGUCGCCAGCUGCAAAUUACCGCCGGUAUAUUAUUCAUAUAGGACCGGUAAUUCAGCCUUCUGUUUGUAAGACACUUUGUAUUUGGCUUUAAUCUACCCUUUGUUUAAUAAAUGAGCUGAUUACAAGCUGUAAUCAGCUCACUCGUGUUCAGCUUGAUAUAACUUUUAUAUAUAUAUAUAUAUAUAUAUAUAUAUAUAUAUAUAUAUAUAUAUAAGAUUUAUUGUGUCAUUAAAAGUACAAUAAUUCUUAUACUUCUAACUUUUUAAAUAUUGAUCAUUCAUCUAUUUUGAUAGACGGUUAUAGUGAUAGAGAGAAGAAAAAUUAUGAAGAAAUUAGGUGUCUCAAUUUUUUUUUUCUCUUUAAAGUUUUUCUCAAUUUAUCUUUUCUUUCAUUCUAACUAUCCAUCAAAAUUAAUGAAGAUUAAAAGCUAGGUAGUAUAAGAAUUAUUGUAGCUCUUUAAGUAGACACAGUAGUUUACUCAUUCUCUCUAAAUAAUAUAAAUUAUGUUCAACUAUAAUAUCGAAGCAUCAAAAGCGUUUGGUGGCUAUCGAGGUUUAAAGGAUGUGUGGUUAGAACAAUAGUUGUGUUCGGUGUUAGAAUAUAAGUGAUCUCCUAUGAUUGAGGUAGAUGGUUGGACUUGAAUAGCUAUACAUCUAAUGAUAGAAAUGAUCAAGCAGUGUAGAAUCUAACGAUCGACGAAACUCAGAUAGUAUCAGGGACUUAAUAUCCUAUCUGAUAGUAUAAUCAAGCCAGAUUCUAUACUAUAUACGAAAGAGAGAGAGAUGAUGUUCCGGCUGAUGAUACUAAUCGAUUGCACCAAGAGGACUUUUGUACUAUCGACCUUUUUCUACUGUCUAGAUUUAUACUAUUUGAUUAAUUUGUAUCCUUAAAGACUAUCAACCACAACCACCCAUUCAAACCCCCCCUAGGGGAACCCACAUCAUCCACAAACGUAAUUUUUUCAAAAUUCAACGGGCUAAACCUUAACUAAUAGCACCCAAUAAAUUAGUGUUAUGUGAUAGUAUUCCAGCCUAGUUUAAUAUCAAUUUCACCCCCUAUAACCUAUAUAUAAGGAAGUUGAGCUAUGAUACUUUUACAAGUAUCACCAUUAUGGUGCCAUUAGGUUUUAAGCCAUUGGAUCUACUUUUUGAUUAUUAAUAGCCCUUGGAUUAAACACUAUUCCACCUACCACCACCUAUCACCACCUACUACCAUCAUCUCAACCUCACAUCUCUCUAUCCAAGGGCUAAAAACACACAAGUAUCACCCCCAUGAUACUUUUACAAGUAUUCUAGCCCUACUCUCUCUCUCUCUCUCUCUCUCUAUAUAUAUAUAUAUAUAAUUUUUAACUAUCAACAAAAUAUCAAUGAUGUACCAUCUUUAUAUCGCUGCGGACCGGAAGCCUUUUUGUUAAAAAACAACAAAAGAAGGUGAUAUAGAUUUUCGGAAUGUUAUUUUUAUAGUUAGUUGAUACGUCGGCAGCUAUGACGUGGAUAAUCUUGUCGAUUAAUUAAUAUAAAUAUUCUAAAAUGGUGCAAGGAUUUAUCAACACGUUAGCUAUUCAAAGAUGUCUUAUUUGUAGGGGAAAUAAUAUUUUAUUAAUUUUGUGAGACGCAUCAAAAGAUCCUUGCUGAGGGAUGGACUUUUCUAUAUUUUGAUCACCACCUACGUACCAAGUAAUUAAUUUAAUUAACACUGAUUUAUUAUUUAGGAAAAUCUUUUAAAACUAGUUAUCAUUUGGAAAAUACUUUAACUAGGUACCUAAACUACUUUACUGCUUGCAUAAGUUAAUUUGUAUAUAAAUUACCCAUACAUAAUGUGAGCAUAUCGGCAAUUCUACCAUGUACAUAUCACAAGCCACUUACAUAUUAAUUAUUAGAUUAAUACAAAUAUUAAGCUUAGUAUUUUCAGAAAUCAAUUAAUACUAUAUAUAAAUAUUUGAUAACUUCUUGUGUUACAUGAUAGUAUUCUAUCGAUUUGUGAAAAUUAACCUCCAGUUUAAUAGAGUCGAUACUUUUGAGUAAAAAUAUGGAACUGUUGAAAGAGAGACCUAGUCAAAAGAUGCGUUUGUUAAUUAUAUCCAUAUUCAUAAAUAUAAUAUAUAGCUAGGCAAAAUGAACUAGUACUAAAUAACAUAUGUGCUACAACUUCAUCAUAUAAUAUAUUAUAGUAUAUAAUAAAUAUAAUAGAGAGAGAGAGAGAGAGAGAUGAGUAGGGGCACUUAUGAGUAUCAGACCCUUCCAUACUUAUUAAGGUGUUUCGUUGUUGAGCUUUUUCGAAUCAACGACCCCACACCGUAAACUAAUAUGCUGAAGUAUUUUAAAUUUGCAUAGAAAAUAAAUUUCCGUAAUUUUUCAAAUCAUUAUAAAGUCCAUAAAGGGCGAGUGUAUAAAUGAAUGGUUAAACAUCAAAUAACAUCAUAAAAAUGGAUGAUCAGGAUCUUUCAAUUUCAAAAUUGAGUUAUUAAUUUUUUUUAUUAGUGAAUAAGAAUUUUCUAAAGUCAACAAGAUUCAACCGUAUUCCAAUUCUUUUUUCAAUCCGUGUAAAGCACUAGCAAAUAUCUCAUACCACGUUAAAAAUUGUCAUUCUUGUAAACUUUUGAUCGUAAAGUAAUGAUAUCGAAAACAUUAUAUAAAAUUUGAUUCUAGAAGUUUUAAAUCUCUAGAUAAUAUUUAAUGAUAUUGAAUCUUGCAUUCGGAAGCGUCAAUCAAUCGAAACAACUUAUAAAUACGAAAACGCAUAAUAGUAUAGUAGCCGCACUCUAUAUAUAUAUAUAUAUAUAUAUAUAUAUAUAUAUAUAUAUAUAUAUAUAUAUAUAUAUAUAUAUUCAGUUCAAAAUUUCAUAUGUAGAGCUAAUCAUUGCCUGGAAUUACUCCACUUAAUUAUUAAAUCAUCUUCAGCUGAGUAAAAGCUAAUUAAGAUGCAUGAAACGAAUCCAAAGAUACUCGUAUAAUAUUCUCUUUUUGUUAAAUAAUCUCUUUGGGGGGGAGCAAUACUAAACAUUAUCAUAUGAAGAAGAGAAGACAACAAUCUCAUGAAGGAAGGAAUUCGAAUAUUUAGUAAAGUUAACGACGACCUCUACGUACUGUGUUGGUCCCAGGUUUGGCAUUUUUAUAAUUAAUUACUUGUUUUGUAUUUAUCUUUCUUAUAUCACAAGUACUUAUUUUAAAAAGCAUUUCUAAAGUUAUACAUACUAAUUAUUGCUCCCAGAAGUUCCAAACAAUUAAUCGAUAACCUAUUUUCUUUGGUACUAGAUUUUGACUUUUAACUAAGACCUUAAUGAUUAUUUGGUGAUCAUGUCAAUUUCCAGUUACAACUAAUUAGAUUAUGGUGUCGUAGUGUUAGGUAUUGCUUUUACUCCAUCUUAUAGACCUUGAUCCACAUGACGACAAAGUGCACUCUCGCACUCUUGACCUUUAUAGACCUCGCUGUUCCAAUCUGUACGUGCUCUCUAAUAAGCCAAGAAGGUUGCGUCAUGUUAAGACUAUUCAUAUAGAUGUUUUCUAUUAAGUCGAUCUAAGCUGUUUUAGUUUUAUCCAAUUUGACGGUGAUUUUGUUAAACAUAUCGACUUUACCCUCAUUUUGAUCGAUGAAACUACAAACGUACGCCUGUGAAUAGUUAAUUAAUAGUCGAGGUAAUAAGUUCUAAAACUUAAUAAAUGUGUACACAAUUUAGGGACCUAUAUAUAUAUAUAUGCCAAUAUUCGAGGGGAUCUCACGCACUAAGCUAGCUAGCUAUUAGGGUUUGUGUGGUGGUGGUGGUGGGGGGGGGGACCAAUGUAUACGUUUAUAGCAUGGCUAACUAUAGCCUUAGUAUAUAUGAGCUAGCGAUUUUAAAGCGAAAGGAAUGGGAGAGGAGGUGUGGUGCAUGAAAACACCCACGAGGGAGGAUGAUGGUGUUGGCCCGUUUGCUUAGCUGUUAUGGUUGGAACGGGACGGCGCACAUGCAUGCACAUGACAUUAGUACUCUUUCUCUAUCUCUCCUCUCUUCCUAUAAACAUCUCUCUCUAUCUCUCUCUAUAUAUCUCCUAGCUAGCUACUAUAUAUCUACCCCCCAAUAUAUUGAUGUGCACUAUAUAUACCAUCACAAUAUCCCAAUAAUGUUUUAGUGAGAGAAAGCAAAGAAUGUAUCUAUAGGACCCACGUACGACUCUUUAUUUUCCAAUUACAGCAAGCCAUGCAUGCAUGCAUGAUUCUCCUUUCCCUUGCUUCUAUAUAUUUAUCCUUUAACUUAUAUAUAAAGAGAGAAAGGGAGGGAGGCCUAGAUGCUACAAAAGCUAGCCCAGCUCAUGCCAUCAAUGACUUUGGUGAUACAACACGUUCUCUAUCGUGGUCUGGGCUAAUUAAGCACAGUUACAUAUAACAUUGUUGAAGUCUGUAUCUAAACCUUUUAUGGGUGCCAGCACAUCGAUAAUAUAAUAAGUAAAAAGUUAUAUAAUAUGCCUGAGUGAUUGCAAGUGUUUCAUACAGCUGUGCGUGACACUCGCUGAUAUAUAGAAAGAUUGCCACGUGGCAAAAUUGUCGUGGGGUCGAAGCACUGUGGUGGAUGCCACGACGCUCUCAUGGGGUGAGUCGGGGACAUGCGUCAUAAUGGAGGAAGAAGAAGAAGAUGGUAGGCGCGCUUAAAAAGUUAGUUAGCUUGGCCACUUGUGAAGGGCAUGGCCGUGCAUGCAUGAGCUGUAUGUAUUGUUUUUGUAGGAUGUUUAAUAUGUUGGUAAAUUUAUAUAUAUAUUUUUAGAGUGCCUAUAUAUACAAGCUAAUGAUUUUUCUCUUUUUUUUUACAUUACAAAUGUCAGCAUGGGAGCUAAAUGACGAAUUGUCACCAGCUGAAUAAGCUAUAAAAGGUACAGCUAAAAGGUUUGCCACACCUUUAUAUAGUAUUGAAGGGAGAAAAACGUCAAAACAUUAUUUUUUUCACAAAAAAAAAAAGAAGAAGUAUAAGAACAGUGUCUUGGCAACGUAAUCCCAGUUUCAGCCUUACCGUUUAGGCCCAUGUGUAGUGUUAUUUGGGGCCUAAACUUUAACCAAACUUGGCCCAUCACUGUAAUUUACACAAUCAUGGGCCCUCAUCUUGAGGCUAAGCUGGGCCUUCGUGGACCUUGUUCUGUCGGCCGGAAUUGCUCCAUCACCAGUGUGAUAUUGGGUCAGAUUGGAUUGCAAAAGAUGUCAAAUUUCAGAGUGGAUGUUGUCCGGCUCUCCGAUUACCUGCUUAGUCUAACUAGAGCUUCUGUAAAAGCAUUAUUAUUAUUAUCUCAAUAAAACUGUAAGUGAAGAAGUGUAUAUAACCUUUCAUUCAGUCACUUAAAAUCAUUCAUUUUCUUUGUGGCUCAAAAGCUCAUAUCCCUUUACUAUUGUAGUGCAAAAAAAAAAAAAAAAAAAACUAGUCUUUUUUGUUCUCUGAAUAUUUAAUACUAUUUAAAUUAGAGGAUCAAUUUUAAAAGCUAGGUGUAACGGGCACUAAAGGUUUAACGACAGGACUUAUUGGACCAUCAAAGAGUCAAUCAUUAAUAAGAGUACUUUUCCCCUUUUGGCGGUGAAAAGUAACCUAUAAUGGAGUUAAAUUCAUGGAAAUGAUGACUUUUUUUUUUUUUGAGAAAUAGAUAGCACGCUAUCUGGUUCAUUUAUUUCAUUUAAAAAUAAACUUAACUGAAAAUAUGAAUCAAUUAAGAUUCAAAUUUGGGUCUCGAAUACUAACUAUCGAAUUCUUUACCAUUUGCUCUAGUGACGGUUGGUAGCAUCAAUCUCUUACUACAAAACAAUUUAUGGCACUCUUGAUAAUCAUCUGUGUCUCCUGACUUUACGGUCAUUUAUUUUUGCAGUGGACGUUGUACACAGCAGUCAUUUAGUAGAUUCAUAAAUUCACAGAGGACGGCCGUAUAAAUGUGGAAAUAGAUAUAGAUAACACGUGUGCUUUUCUGUGUUAUCGAGGAUUCAGGGGCUAUUAAUUACGGGAAUAUUUCUUCGUCGCCGAUCGAUUAAACUUAUUGAAAAGUUUGAAUAAGAAAUUAAGCUAGCGGCUACGAACUUAAACAUCGACUUUUUUAUUACGAGCCAAUUGGGAAGCGCAAUGACUUACGCCUAACACACAUACACAAAAGUAAUAAAAAUAGGUGUUUAAUACUAAUAAUAAUCAUAUCCAGAUGUAACAUUUAUUAGUUAGAAAAUAUGCGAGUGAAAAGUUCUCCCUCCAUUAGAAUCAAACUACACAACAAGAUGAAGGCGACCAACGACCGAGAUAACUAUUUUUAACUUGUUUCCUACUAAAUCGAUUCUUUAGGUAAAAGAACAUCAGAACUGAUCACAUUCGAUUCUCACAUUCGACAUUUAGUGAUAUUUCUAUUAUCUUUUAAGGCGGCAUACAUUUUACUGUUUACUUGAUCUUCAUUAUAUAUAUGAGCAAAAAUAUUAAAACUAUUUAUAAUUUUAUUUUGGGAGUUAAUAAUCAUUAUAAUUGCUGCUUCAUGCGAUCAAGUUGAAGCCUAAUGUGAUAAGAUGGUGGUUAAAAAUAUUAUUUUUAUAAAUCUAAAAGUGUUCAAUAAUAAGCCGGAGUCCAGCUCAAAACCAAACCCGAUUCGACAGUUGUUCCUAUCUAAUAUUAAUGACUCUUAUUAUUAUUAUUAUUAUUAUUAUUAUUAUUAUUAUUAUUUUGAAAGAAACAUCCUCUUCCACCUAAAAAAUAUAAUAAUCCACAUUACGUCCUGCAUGACGGUUUCAUAAUUACCGCCGGCGUUCGAAUCUUUGGAAUCUGACAUUCCCGAGCUUCAUUUCCUUGUCUCGUGGCCUCCCCCUCACAGCUAGCACCCAAACCCUUCCCCUUGGAACCUCCGCCACGUGGCUUCUCGACACCCCUCUCUCUCUGAACUUUUCUAUUUGUCUCUCUCUCUCUCUCCUACGUGGCCAAGUCAACUCAGAAAGAUUCAUAUGGUAAUUUAAUAAACUUAUGGUAGGUUAGAAACUGGAAAUAUAAAUAAUUUCAACUAAUAGUGCUGGGAACAAACUAAACGAUUAAUCAAAUAAUAUUGGGAUAUAUGGUAUAGGGAGUAGCCAUGUAUGGCCUUUAGGGUGCGUUUGGUUCGCGCUAUUUUUUAAAAAUUUUUAAUAAUCCAAUGAGAAUAAAAAAAUAUGACGGUGUUUGGCUAAACGCACUAAGUAAUUCAGUUGGUAAUAUUGAAUUCACUUGGAAAUAAGAUUCACCUCAAAGUACUAAUCUCAUUCUCUUAAGGGAGGGUGGAUAUCCUCAUAUUAAUGAAUUUAAGUAAUCAUAAUAUAUCUAAUCUCUUUCUUUCUUCCUACCCGCCGGCUAGUUGAUAUUAUUUUUCUUUACAUUCUAACCUUAUAUCUCUCUCUAAACUUUUUUUUUUUUUAAAAAUUCAACUUUUUUUUCUCUCUCUAAACUAAGCUUUCUCUCUCUCUCUUUCUAAAAUUUCAACUCUCUCACUCCCUCUAAUUUCGACUAUAUUUUUCUUUCUAUAUUUUUAAUUAUGCUCUUUUUUUCUAACUUAUACUCUCUUUCCUUUUUUUCUAAAAAGAUGUUGAAAUUUUUGAUAACAUUAUCUAAAAUUAAAUAAAUAAAUAAAUUAAUUAAUUAUUAUUUCUAAAAAAAAUUAAUUAAUUAAUUAUAUAUUUUUUUGUAAUAUUAGAUAACAUGGCUAAUUAAUAUUACCGUGCGAAUCAAAUAUAGGAGUGCCAUAUUCUUAGUAAUAGAAUGAAUAGGAAUAAGAUUCUCAAAUAUCUUUUAUUUCUAAUAAUAUUUUAUAGUGCAAACCAAACGCACCCUUAUAUAUAUCCUCCACCCUCCUAACCUAGACCAUUUCGUUAUUCUACCUAUCCAUGCACCCUCCUCCCAUGGAGAAGCUCUCAACAUGGGUGACCACAAUAUGGCUUCUCCUUCUGCUUUUCCAUGCAGCAGAAGCUGAGCAAGAUGACGUGAAGCGCUCCCUCGUCAACUUCCUCAAGAAGCUCUCGGGCAACGACACCCACAUCGACCGGAAGCUGGGCUGGAACGCGACCUUCGAUCCGUGCGUGCACCAAAAUUGGACCGGAGUUAAUUGCAGCGCGACGACGAACUCGAUAAAAAGUAUCGUGCUCGAAGGUUUGGGACUUACUGGUUCGAUCGAUGCUGGUCUCCUUUGCAAGGCACGAUCUCUCUCCGUCCUCAGCCUCCGCGACAAUGCCCUAAGCGGCGAACUCCCUGCCGACAUAUCAAACUGCAGCCAACUGACCCAUCUGUACGUCGGAGGAAAUCGCUUCUCAGGUUCUCUUCCUUCCUCGCUCGAGCUUCUAAAUAACCUGAAGAGGCUUAACAUAUCCUACAACAGCUUCUCCGGCGAGUUACCGGACUUUUCUAAGAUCUCGGGGCUACUAACCUUUCUAGCACAAAACAACAGCCUUACUGGGACUAUUCCUGCAUUUCAUUUCACCAACCUUGUUAGCUUCAAUGUCUCCUACAAUUCUUUGCGUGGUCCAGUCCCUGAAAAUGGUGGCCUUUUUGGUGUAGAAAGCUUCACUGGUAACCCAGGUUUGUGUGGGAAACCACUUCCUAUUGCAUGUCCACCGUCGCCAUCUCCUUCGCCGUCUCUGUCAACGGAAGAAAAAGGAGAUUCCAAGAAGUCCAUAGGCGAUAAAACUAUCAUGCUCUCCGGGUAUAUAGCUCUUGCCGUGGUCUUCUUACUGUUCCUUUCAUACAAGGUGAUCUUCUUUCUAUACAAAAAGCAGCAGCAGAAGAAGAAGAGUGAAGAAAUGAAGGGGAGUACUGGGGGUGAUGAGAAGGUGGGGAGUGAUGAGAAGGUGGGGAGUGAUGACAACUCCAAGCCUCCGAGCAAGUCGCGGUCGGAGUACUCGCUUCCUCCCUCUGGAGAGCAGAGUGCGCAUACCGCGUCGACUUCGCUGGUAGUUCUUAAGGAUUCCGCGUCGAAGAAGGAGCUGAGGUUCGAGGACUUGUUGAAGGCUCCUGCAGAGUUGAUGGGGAGGGGCAGGUUUGGGAGUUUAUAUAAGGUGAUGCUGCAGGAUGGGAGCGCCUUGGCUGUGAAGAGGAUUAAGGAUUUAUCCAUCUCUGUUGAGGAUUUUAAGAGGAGGAUGGAGAGGAUAAGCAGAGUGAACCACCUCAAUGUUCUUCCUGCUGUGGCUUUCUAUUGCUCCAUGCAGGAGAAGCUGGUGGUCUACGAUUACCAAAAGAAUGGAAGCCUCUUUAAGCUCCUACAAGGUAAGUGAGGCACGAAUCCAUCAUAUUUACAUAUGUAUUCCUCCAAAAUAACCUAAUUACAUGUACAAUUUUGCAAAAAGUAUAAACCUCUUAUAAUCAUGUCCCUCUUUAAAAAACUUGCUUAGUUUUUCUAAUUAAACCAACUUUUUCCUCCAAGUAUUGGAUGAGAAUUUUGCAUGUAUUUUUAUUUAUUAAUAUGAAUUAUAUAAAUUAAUUUAUACGCAACACAUCAGCAUGUCAGCAGAUUAGCGAUCUAUAUACACACACACAAGGAUAAUAUAAUAGUACUCUUUACGUGGAAUCAACAAUGUACAUUUAACUCAGACAACUUUGAAUGUACAUUUACAUAAAACCCCUCGGAAAUCUCAAUGAUGAUUAAACAACCCUUUUUUAAUAUUCAGGAGGUGGUGGGGAACAAAACCACAAUUUCGGCUGGAGCAGUAGGCUAAACAUGGCCACAGCCAUCGCCGAGGGCCUCUCCUUCAUGCACGAAGAGCUCCACGAAGAAGGGAUCGCCCACGGCAACUUCAAAUCCUCGAACAUCCUAUUCACGGCCAACAUGGACCCCUGCAUCAGCGAAUACGGCCUCACAUCCCCGCCCUCCGUCGUCGCCGCAGCAGCCGACCACCUCCUCUUCUCGUCGUCGUCGUCUCGAAGCGCCGGCAACUCCACCUCGGCUGCCGCGCCGUUCAAGUCCGACGUCCGCAGCUUCGGGCUGGUCCUCCUGGAGCUGCUGACGGGGAAGGCGGCGCACAGCGACGGGUCCGACCUGGCGCGGUGGGUGCAGUCGGUGGUUCGGGAGGAGUGGACCGUCGAGGUGUUCGACAAGCGCCUCCUCGCCGACGGCGCGAGCGAGGAGGGCGUGGUGCGCCUCCUGCAGGUUGCGCUCAAGUGCGUCAACUCCGCCGCCGAUGCCUGCCCCACCAUGCGCGAAGUCGCGGGGAUGGUCAACUCCGUUAAGGAGGAGGAAGAGGAGAGGUCCAUAGUCUCCGAGGAGGGAUGAUGCAUGCAUGCAUGCAUGGCCAGUUCUUUGGUAAGGAGUUUUAUUAGCGUUAGACGAGCAUUAGUAUUCUUGUUUGUUGUCGGAGAAAUUAUUAUUGCUGUGGACUUCGUCCACCGCGUCAGCCGUGGACCUCCCAAACUAUUCUUCCUCGUCACUCUACCUUUCAAAAUCACAACCCUUAGAUAAAUAUAUUAAAUAUAUUACCCUUUUCAAUUUAAAAGGAAUUAAAAAUGGAGGGUGGAUUGUAAUUGGAUGGUUCGCGGCUAACAUGGUGGACUAGAUUCAGACGGUAAUUUUACCUGUUGUUGAGGCCUUUUUGUUUUGUUCAUCUAUAAUUUAGAACUAAGAUAUUAUCAUCUUUUUUUUUAAUUGCCAACAGAAUAUAGUCGAACUGAUGAGCUUACCGUCAAUGGUGGCAUUUAUUGUUUUAUUUGUUACUAUUUUGAAGUAAUCCUAAUUAAUUGUUUGAUUGUUUGAUUCUUUCUAGUUAUGUUUGCAUCAUCAUUUGAAUACUCAACAAAUAAUUCCUCAAAUAGAGAUUUCGUACCUAACCUGUAUUCGUUUAUAAUAUCACAUUUAUUAAAUUUUAUAGAACUACCAUUAUCUACGAUAGCUUAAACUAUUGAGAUUUUUAACAUUAAUAUUCAAUAUCUUUUCACACAUUUGGACUUGAGAUUUUUUGAUGGGUUCCAAGAUGUAGGUUUGAGUUAAAUAAAAAAAAAAUUAAUUAAACUAGAAACUAGCUAGACUGGAGCUCGAAAUCUCUUGCUCUGAUAUUAUAUUGGAUUAUAUAUAAAAUACUUAUUUCUAGUAGCUUAAAUUAGCAUAUAAUAAAAUAUUAAUAUUUGUAUUCAACUAUAUAUAUUGAUGAGAAUUGAGAAACAAGCAGCUUAAAACAUGAUUACAAGUAAAGCAUCUUCCAAUUGAAGUGUAUAAGCAAGGAAAGCAAGAGCUUCAAUUUCGACACUAGAUGAUUUCGACACUAGAUGCUCGUAUCGUUUGCUUACUUAUAUGUUAUAUCCAUAUCAGAAUAUAUAUAUAUAUAUAUAUAUAUAGAGUGAGGCUACUAUGCUAUCGGAAGCACGGAGCCUUCCGUGCUUCCAGCUCGUUUUCGAUGUUGCGACUUUCGAAUCGUCGAUCGGCUCCGUUAAACUUGAUCGAGAGUAUUUGGAGUACCUAGAAAAUAAAUUUUAUUAUUUUUCGAUAUCAUUUGCCUANAUUCAAAAUCCAUAAUUUUUAAUGAUUGAUAUCUGUCGUUUUCAAGUUUAACGGUGUAGAAGUAUUUAAAUCAGAUAAAAUUUUGAUACAAAAUUCUUUAUACUAUCUAUAACAAGAUCAAUAUUUCUGAUCGAAAAUUUUAGUGCUAUAUCACAAUUUUUUAUAGAAUUUUUAUUUUCAACCGUUAAAAAUUAUUGAUUUUAAAUCCUUUCGAUUGCUAGGUAAAUGAUAUCGAAAAAUCACAAAAAUUAUUUUCUAGAAACUUCAAAUACGCUAGAUCAAGUUUAACGGAACCGAUCGUUGAUUCGGAAACUCCAUCAUCGAAAACGGCCCAGGAGCACGAAGGCCUCCGUGUUCCUGAGAGCACAGCAGCCCUGCUCUCUCUCUCUCUCUCUAUAUAUAUAUAUAAAAGAGAUAGAUAAAAUGCUACUCACUUCGUUUAUUUUAUUUAGAAAUAAAUUUAGCUAGAAAUAUAAAUCAAUUAGAAUUCGAACUUGAGACCUCGGGUAUCAACGACUAUGACCUUUACCACUUGCUUUAAGGACAAUUGAUUAUUAUAAUAAUAUUAUUAAUGAGUCAGUUUUAUAUUCUUGUUCCUGAAUCACAAUUUGGAGCUAAAAAUUAGCUUGGACCGGAUCACACCAUGCCGAGGCUAUAACUCGAUCCCACCAGACCCUGAACGGGCCCACACCUGAAGAUAUGCUGACGUCAUUGCAGAUCAUGAUUUCGUCAGCUCCUCGGGCAAGAACUUGAGUGAUCGUCCAAAUAAAGAUGGAAAACAAAAAGAAAGAGUCAAAAUGUACGAAGACCCAAAAGGCUAUUUUGAAGUAGAUUCUUAAACUGCAUUCUCUUAAAUUAUUUUUUUUAAAAAAAUUUCAAUUAAUUUAAUUUAAGUUAUAAAGUUAUUUGAAUUACGAAAAUUCCAGAAUUAAUGACUUUGGAAGUUACCAGGUGUUAAAAUGAAUGUUCUGGGACAAUCUCGUAGAUUUUUAUUAGAUAAAAAUCUAAAUUAAAUAGAAUUAUCAGAAAAACUUUAAAUGUCCUCUUAUGGUUUCAUUCUUUCUCACUUUAGUAUUAUGUGGUUUAAAAUAUAUCAAGUUAGUACCCUGUGAUUUCGCACUUUCUCUCUUUAAUAUCCUGUGGUUUAAAGUGUGUCGAGUUAGUACCAUGUGGUUUCACACUUUCUUAUUUUAGUACCCUGUAGUUUAAUAUUUCAUUAAGAAAAAAAUAAAACCACAGAAUACUAACUUGAUAGAAAAAUAAAAUCAUAAAGUACUAACUUGAUACACUUUAAACCACAGGGUACUAAAGUGAGAAAGUGCAAAAUCAUAGGGUACUAACUUGAUGCACUUUAAAUCAUAGGAUACUAAAAUAAAAAAAUACGAAACCACCUGAGGUUUUUUAAAAUUUUUUCCUAAAAUUUAAUAAAAAUUUUAAUAUAUUUAAUGUAGUCAUUUAAUUCAAAAGAAUUGAAACUCAAUGUGCAAAAAAAAUAAAGAAAAAAAUGUUCAGGGGCCAAUUGCGGGAACAGUUACAUUUGAGGGGUUUCGUACCAAUUUUUUUUUUUUACCUAAAAUCACUUUUUUAGUAGUUAAAAAAUAGAGAUUUGGGUCCCUGUAGGGUUUUUGGGCCAUUUGGCUUCUUUUUUGCUUCAACCAAAACCAAAAACCAAAGAGAGAGAAAACACAACCCACCACCUCAAAGAAGCUUGAGAAGAAGAUCCCACUUCUUCUCCAACGGAGGAGGGGCUUGGGCUUCCUAAACUGAAGAGGUAGGCUAUAUUUUUCUUUUUUAUUUCUUUUUAUUUUAUUUUUUAAUCUCCCCUUCCCAUUCUACAUUCUCGUUGUAAUCUAACAAACGUUACAGGGUAAAAACAAGACGUGGCUUUUCCCUCGCCAUGUUCCUGCUUUUGUGAUCUGCGCUUCAACUAAAAGCUGGGAACCAUUUUUGUUCUUGUUCAGUACACAAAGCGCUUUUGUUUUCUUUCACAUUUGUUUCCCAAGUUGCGAAAAAAGAAACAAAAAGAAGAAAAAAAAAAAAAAAAGGUUUUGAUUUUUUUUGAUUUUUUUUUUUGAAUUUUUGGGUCCAUCCUAGCUAUUUUGUCAAAUCAAAUGACUUGGGUUUUGCCCCCAAAUCAAGGAAGGAGAUGGUUGCUCUUCUAGCCCACUCAUCAUCAUCAUCAUCAUCAUCCACUGCAAAUUCAAAUUCCUGGGUUUUGUCCCACACCAAGAGGAGAGAUCAUGUUACAAAUUCCCAAAUAAGAGACUCACUGCCCUAUUCAUCAGCCCAACCCCCACCACCAACACCCCAACAAUCUCCCAGCAAUAGAAUAAGCCCUGCAAUCCUCUUCAUCAUAGUGAUCCUCGCCGUCGUCUUCUUCGUCUCCGGCCUCCUCCACCUCCUUGUGAGGUUCUUCGCGAAGAAAACCCCACCACCCGGUAGCACUUCACCCCAUUCCGGUAGUAGGCAGCAGCCGGCAGAGGCCUCGGGCUCCGACGCCCUCCAGCGGCAGCUCCAGCAGCUCUUCCACCUCCACGAUUCGGGCCUUGAUCAAGCGUUCAUUGAUUCGCUGCCGGUCUUCCUUUACAAGGAGAUCGUCGGCCCGAAGGAGCCGUUCGACUGCGCGGUCUGUCUGUGCGAAUUCGCCCUCGAGGACAAGCUCCGGCUUUUGCCCGUCUGCGGCCAUGCUUUCCACCUCAGCUGCAUUGACACAUGGCUGCUCUCCAAUUCCACGUGCCCGCUUUGUCGGCAGCCGCUGUUUGUCCAAGGCCUUGCGAUCGAGAACCCCAUCUUUGAAUUCGACGAUUCGAUCGAGGAAGAUAGUUUUGCCGAGGACCGGGAAGCGGAGUCGGGGAAUGAGAAGAGAGUUUUUCCUGUUAGGCUCGGCAAAUUCAGGAGCUUGAGCAGAAGAGACGGAGGUGUCGAAAAUGAUAACGGCGGUGCCGUUAUAAGUGCGGGAGAAGAGGUAGGGGAGGCCAGUAGUAGUAAUUUGGACGCGAGGAGGUGCUAUUCCAUGGGCACGUAUCGGUAUGUGCUCGGUGAUGUAAAUCUUCGAGUUUCUCUGAGAAGUUCUCAUAAAAGAAACGGAGUCCGUAGGAAUUUCGCUGAUAAUGAGGUUCUGGAAGGAAAGAGGAUAUGCGCGGGGAGCAAAGGCGAGAGCUUUUCUGUGUCGAAGAUCUGGCAAUGGCCGAAUAAGAAGGGGAAGUUCCCUAUCAGCUAUUCAGAUGCAGGCUCCGUCGAUGGGAGUAUGCCAUGGAUGGAAAGAAGUGUUCAGGAUACAUAAAAACAAAUGUGUGAUGUGAUCAAUCCAUCUUUUUCUUGAUGAUUAUAUUAAUAUAUCAUUCAUGUGUUGAUUUUAUAAUGUUCUCCUUUUGUUACUUAACUUCUUUUGUGCUCAAUUAUAAAUGUCUGUGGGUGCGUGUGCUAACAUUGUUUUAGUUCUGUCUGAUCUUGGUUUUUCAUGCUGUUGUCUCGGAUAUCAUACUACCGAGUCAUAAUUCCACCUUUCUAACUAGGUUCCCAAAGUUCAUACAAAAUUACAAAUGUAGAGUGCUAAAACACGUAAGGUAUUUGUUAGAAUGAGCUGCUAUCCCUUUUUUGUGAAAAUUUAUAUAUAUUGCUAGAAUGUCUAGUUUGAAAUCCCAAAGUUCUCUUCGAUCUUUUACCAGUUGAAAACCUUUUUUUUUUUUUUUUCUUCUAUUGGUUCUAUUUUCUCCUGAGGAGGUGAUGGAGACUAUAAUUGUCCCUUCCUACUAACUAUAUUUGACAUGGAGAUUAGAGGUUUUCUUAAUAUUGUGGUGAUGGAUCCAGCUGGGUGGUCGAAAAGAGUUUUUCUUGAGAGUGAAGGGGGAAGAAUAUUUCUUCGUUUUAUUUUCUCCUUCUCGUCCUGUUUUUCCCCUUUUUUUUCUUUGCUUUGAUUCGUUUCAUUUUGAUGCUUUGUUCUUCUCUUACUUCAUCUUAAGUAAAAUAAGAACCACUAGUUCUCGUAUUGCUUCGCUAGGAAGUUUUGAAACCAGCAAAUUGGAGAGAGAUGUCUUAGCUCGCAAAGCAAGUAACUAAAUUUGCUUUCAUAUCUUUAUCAGAGGUUAGUAGAUCUGUACAUUAUGUUACAUUGUAUGAGUAGGUAGAGGUGAUACAUCGUAUUAUACUAAUCAUAGUUGGAGCUUUGUUAACUUCAUUGAUGCAAUGCUGAUAUUGAUACUCUGAGAAUAAGUAAACGAAAGCCAACCUAUUACUUGGACUCAGUAUUAUGUUAUAAAUGGCACAAGUAGGAUAAUAUGCUGUUUGACAGAGAAAUCCUAUCCGCAAGGCUUCAAAUAUAGUGUAUUGACUAUUGGCAUGUGGAACAGCAUAUGACAAUGGGGUUCCAUGGGUACAUGGUUAAAGAUUAGAUUCAUGGAUGUUGCCAAGCCAAAAUGGAAAAUAUUACAUAUGUGAGUAUCUUUUUUUAAGUUUAGUGCACCUAACAAGAUGUAAAAUGUUUUCUUGUUAUCAUGUUUCUUCUCAAGAAGCAGUUUAAAGUGCCAAUGGGAGAUGGCGAGUUUUACUGAACAUGCGUCCGGUGAAUCGUUGUUUUCACACAAAUUAGUGUUUCGGAAGGAAAACAGGAAGUGUAAAGGGCAGCAGUAAAAUGUUUCUGAUCAAAAGAAUAGUUGGUUAUGGUGUAUCAGAAAGUUGUGGUGUUUAUCCAAGUAUUUUAUACUCUCUACCUUUGUGGACAAUCUUUCUGCAAGUAUUUUUAUACUCUGUACCUUUGUGGACAAUCUUUCUGCUAAAAGGUGAAGAAUGGGGCUUUGCUUGUUCCCAAACGCAACAAUAUUCCUCGAAUCAACUUGAAAAUUUUCUUUUGUAGUUUGUUUAACUUGAAUAACAACGAGCUUAAACUGAAGCAACUUUCAUUUCUAAUGAUGGCCAUGGUAAUUAUUGACCUGUACAGUAGAAAUUAUUACUGCUACUACGUCAAUAUGGUAUGAGCUCUCUACCUGAUCUGGUAACUUGUAGCAAGUCUUUGUGACUUUUCAAUAUACUCCUGUGCAGAGCAAUCUUUUGCAGUCAUCAAGUGAUUGGAUCGCUACUAUUUUUUCUAAAAACCUAUCUGCUUUGUAACAUUACUUUAAGCCACUUCCACUCUUACUGCUGGUAUGUUAAUUUCCUUCUCUUUUCAUCCCCCUUUGCUCUGAAGAAUCUCCCAGGUUACUUUUUCCAUAACUGAAGAAAAAAGCGAGUGGACAAGAGUUACUUGGGUGUCGAACUUUACAAGAAGGGCUUUUGUUGUAUAUGUAGUUUUACUCCUUACUUACACAGGAUGUGAAAUUACAAGAAUAAAGCGUUUGAGCAUGUUGUGUCAAAAUCUUAAAAUGACAUCUUUGUUAGCUCCGUUAUACAAGAAAAUAUAGGCCCCUGUUUAGUGUUACUAUACAUUGUGUUUUUUCAGAUGUACAAUUUACUGGGUUGCUCAGGGUCACAAAUUUACUAACAAUAACCAUUCACAGCCUAUCGCAAAAUGAUGAUGAUGAGUCGAUGACCACCAACAAUAACUACAACAUACCAACAACAGCAGCAACAACAACACCAAUGACAAUAAAUAAUACUCGAAUAACAAUAGAUUAAAUCCGUCUAGUGAGUCAAUCUUUCUCUGAAUGAGCAGUAAAAGAAAAAAAAAGGGCAUGAUAAAUAACAGACACCUUAAUGCAAAAUUACAUAGAGAUAUUCCAUGGAUAAGCACAUAUCAAAGAAAUAUUAAUUCUACUCUGGGAUUGACCUUUUGUUGCAGGAUAAUAUCUUGGGCUUGCUUCCAGCUAGGAUAGUCUGAUAAAUGGAUCGAUUUGUAUGACCACUUGCCUCCUCCCAGAUACAUUCUCCCUUUUGAGUUGAUAAUUAACCGCUCACGAGCAAUGGCAUUGUUAAGCAAAUAAAUAGCAAGUUCCACUUCAUUGCAUUCAUUAGUGAAUCCACUGAUUUCGGCUUCCUUCAGCUGACAAUGGUGUUUAUAAGUAGGCUUUUUCUUCUGAGUUUCAGCACUGUAAGAUCCAUCGCAGAGCUGUUACCAAAACCAAUAAACAUCAGGUUCAAAGAUGAAGAGCACACAAUCUUGUAUGUUAGUGAACAAAAUAUAUCAAGGAGCGGAUAUAAUCCAAAAGAGCGAUUUCGUCGUAAGUCCACAUAUCUUGUAUGGCAUUGCUCAAGAGCAUUUUAUGAUCCUCUUGUAAAAAUUAGUACUUUGAGGCUGCAUUUGAUUUGGGUAUAAAUAAGAACUUUUUAUUCCAAAAAUAGGUAUAAGUUCAGGUAUAAGCAGGAACUAGACCAAUUUUGCGUUUGGAUGAAAAUUAGUUUAUUCCUAGGAAUAAGAUAAAUAGUGUUUGAAUGGUUAGAUGGGAACAAAGGGAAUAAGGCUUAUAAUUUUAAAUUAAAAAUAUUCUAUCUAAUUAAUUAACAUCAAAAUAUUACUUAAAAAUAAUUUAAUAAAUUAAUAAAUUUAUUAGCUAUGAAUAUUAUAUGAGAUAAUGAAAAUAUAUUAAUUAAUUAAUUAAAUAUAAAAAAUAAUUUAAUUUUUUAAUUAUUUAGUAAAUUAUUUUAGCUAGAUAACUAGUAAAAAAAUUAAUUAGAUUAAUAGAAAUAUUAAUUGUUGAUAAAUAUAAAUAUUAGUUUAUAGAUAAAUACAUUAAAUAAUAAUUUAAAUAUAUUAAUUAGAUUAAUUAACGAUUUAAUACCAUAAUUAAAAUUAAAUUUAGAUUUUAAUUAACCUUGUUUCCACCUGGGAACAAACUUGUUCCAAGGAAAAAGGUGGAUUAGCAAUUCCAGCCUUAUACCAGCUUAUUUCAGAAAUCCAAAAACUACUAUUCUUUGGUACCAAACGCACCGUUUAGGAACAAAGGGGGGAACAAGGGCUUAUUCCCCCCUUGUUCCCGAACCAAACACUGCCUGGGAGAACAAUAAAGGUAUGAUAGACAUGAAUCCUAUUUUUACGACCAACAAUAAUUAAGAUAUGAAUCUUCAACUUUGCACAUUAAUCGCGAGAGCUCAUCAUAUAGAAAAGAUCAAAGAAGAGUUGCAAAAUAGAUAGUUACACAAUGAAAAGCCAGAUUAGAUAGUACCGAAAGUUGCAAAAAACUGUAUCAACUCACCGAAAUAUGGAACUUCUCCUGAAGAGGACAAGCAUCAAGAAAAUACGUAGCAGAAAGAGGGUCAAAAUCGCUUGGGGCAAGAAAAAACAACUCCAAUUGUUUGAGAAAGCUGAAUUUACUCACAUUUGCAGGUAUUGGCUAUGUCUGUAGACACAAGAAAUUGCUAAUUAACACAUCUUUAUAGAUAGGGUGUGCAAAAGAAAAACCAAUUAUCACAGGAAAAUUUCUAAACUAUGUCGUAAAUAUAGACACCCUCACAAACCUCAAAAAAGACUAGUGACAGAGACUUCAGGCAAGGAAGAUCUCUUGCUAUGCCAUGGUACAUAUAUUCUGACCCCUCGGCAAAUGGAUGCAGAAAAGCCAUGUACAAUUUCUCUAGACAGGGAACUCUAACAAAUAUGAAAUUUUUAACUCUACCCCUGUAAUCAAAUGUCUUGAGACUAGUGGAACUAAUAAAGAUAUUAGAUAACAAACCAUAACAAUCACGCAAAGUUAAUAUCUUCAGAUGACGUAAUUGAUAGCAUAUCGUGAGUCUUUGGCAGGUCACAUGUUUCCAGUCUCCAGGACUCAAGGUUAAGACAACAUGAAUGUAUACUUUGAAUAUCACUUGCAUCCAGAGGGACUCUAUUCAAAUCGAGCGUCUUCAAAGAACUGAACUGGUCUAUGAAAUUUGAAGGUUUCAGCAAGCAUGUUUCGAGGCACAAACGCUUUAAGUAAGAUGAUUUACUGCAGGGAAGGAGAUGACAUGGGAAAUUAUAAAGGCCAUAAUUAGGUGAUAUAUUAGAAAGGGCGCGAGAUCAAUCUUCCUUGCUCUCAUCCUCAGUGCCCAACUGAUCCAGCUAUCGAUAUGACAAGCAGACUCAUCUCCAAGUCGAAAACCGACCGUGAAGCAAUAUAUAUCUCGUGAUAGAGCUUCAUAAACAUGCAAAAUCUGGUUAACCUCUCUUAUAAGUUUAUCCUUAAACUCAUUAUUGACAAGAAGACAAGAGCAUCGUCCAAUUUGAAUUCCAAACAUAGUAAGAGGGUCGAGGCAUAGGUUAGAUACGAAUGUAGGAUGACGCCUCCAUCUACGCGAUAGUAACUUUGCCUUGGCAGCAUCUCGCAAGGUAAGAAGCGAGAAGAUGCGAUUAAGAAUGUCGUCCGGCAAUUCACUGAUAUGGUCUCUGGUGUGAGCGUUUUGCUACAAAAAAUGUGUAAAUUAGCAAGAUCUCACUUUCCUAACUUUAGGAAGAUAAUAAAGAAUAAUGCGAUAAGUAAUAAAUAGAUGACUUGAGCUAGGGUGCUAUUUAUAGCACCAAGCCUUUCAUGUUAUAGGCCAUUAAAAAUAUCACUUUUGAGACCACUUGAUAAUUAAGAAAUAGAUUCAUGAAAUUUGAUUCCAAGGAAGUUCAAAUAUCCUAAAUCAGAUUCACUGAUGAUGAUUGUCGAAAUGAAUGCCCAAACAUUGAAAAUGAUCGAUAGCACAAAAGGCUCGAUCCUACUAUUAGCACCCCGGUCUAGCUCAUAAGUAGAUCAUCAACUUUAUUUUGCAACCAAAACACAGGAACAACAAGCAAACAUAACAGUUCCUGGCAAGCCAUAGAUAAGAUAGGCAUGGGACACUAGAAAUGCAGUGCUCGAACCAACACACCUGCUGCCUAAGCAGUCAAGACUCAAGAGCACCACAUGUUACCUAAUCAACAAUAACAUAUUUACCAAGAAAUUGGAAAAUAACAUGAAAGUUAAAAAUGUGCGGGACCUGUGUGAACUACAACAAAUUUUGAAAGCAUCGGCUGAUUUUGAAAUUUGAUUUUACAACCUAAGUUUAGUAUUUAUUAGAUUUGUCGAGUCACUUGAUGGCGCUUCCCAAACGGAAUCUUGAUAAGCCAUAUGUUUUUAUGGGACUUAAUUAGAGUAUCUUAUAUGAUUCACACGACUACAUCCUGUUAAAAGUUUUAUAAGCACGGUCAAUUAAAACGAAAUCGUGAAAUAAAAUAUGGUCUGUUAAAGCGGAGAGAAAUUUAUUCUUUUUGCCUAAUUAUUAAAACACGAGAAAUUGAUUGAUAACACCUGGAAAUGAGUCUCAAGUAAAGCUGCUAGAUUUAAAUAGAACAACUCCAGUCACAAUCCACCAAUGGAAUUGCACCAAAAGAAAAAAAAAAAAAAAAAAAAAAAAAAAAGGUAAAUAAGACGGAGCAGAAAAACAGAACCAGAUUUGCUCAUAUGUGAAGUGAUAAUCCGAACGAGCUCCAGAUCAUAGGGUUUUAGGCGCACAGAAAAAUCAUAUUUAGAGAAGAUAGCCUCAUACAUGUAGAAUAGGUGCACAAAAAAGUUGUACCUGAAAUUGGCUAACCGUUUUGGAGUGCUCCAUCUCAGAGUAUAAGGAAGGCGGCUAGGCGAGCGAGAAGAGUUCCAGACUGCCUUCGGCUGAGAUCGGGGUAGACUAAUUAGUACUCGAGAAAAUAUGCCGACGCCGACGGCUAGGGUUCAUUCAGGAGGAAUUAAUUCUAAUUUGAUAUAUUCUGCACUCCGACCGGGCGAAUUAGAGCUAAUCCAAAACGAAAAGGAAUAAUUUAUACAACUCCCUAAUAAAGAUAUAUUAAAUUAUGAAUAUAUCUCCUCCUGCCUUUUUCGGCCAGAACUAAUACCAGAAAAGCCAAACAGAUCACCACGGAACACCAUGAUUUUAAUGGGGACAAAGUCAAUGAUCUUCAACCUAGCCAAAGGCUUAAGCUACUUUGCAUGUAUGAAUUAAGACUAUGAAGGCUAAAACUAUGAAAACUACAAGGACUAAGGCCCCCGUUUGGAUACCGUUAAAAACGUAGCAUAAUGCUACACUAGUAAAAAAUUUAUACAAUUAUCGUAAUUUUUGGAUCAUAGGUAAACUAUACUAAAAAAAAUAGAGUAAAAUUAUAAUUCACUCUAACCAAAGAAAAAGAAUUCCACUAUUUUUGGACAAAGAUGCAUAAGUUCUAACUUUUAAAUUUCAACAUUAAAUUUUAAAUUUCAACAUAGAUUUCAAAUUUUAAAUUUUACAAUUUAAUUUAAAUUCAAAUUUUUAAUUUCAAAUUUUAAAUUUGAAUUUUAAAUUUGAAAUAUCAAAAAUUAAAUUUUAUAAUUUCAAAAUUUAAAUGUCAAAUUUUAAUUUUAUAAAUUCAAAUUUUAAUUUUCGAAUAUCAAAUUUUAGAUUUUAGUUUACAAAUAAUAAAUUUCAAAUUUUAAUUUUUUAAAUUUAUAAUUUUAAUUUUUAAUUCUAAAUUUUUUAUUUUCAAAUUUAAUUUUAAAUUUCAAAUUUCAAAUUUCAAAUUUAGAAUUUCAAAUUUCAAAUUUAGAAUUUCAAAUUUUAUUUUAAAUUUUAGUUUUCAAAAUUUAAAAUUUAAAUUUUAAAUUUCAAAUAUCAAAUUUUAAACUUCAAAUUUUAAAUUUUAAAUUUUAAAUUUCACAUUUUAAUUUUCAAAUUUCAAAUUUCAAAUUUAGAAUUUCAAAUUUCAAAUUUAGAAUUUCAAAUUUUAUUUUAAAUUUUAGUUUUCAAAAUUUAAAAUUUAAAUUUUAAAUUUCAAAUAUCAAAUUUUAAACUUCAAAUUUUAAAUUUUAAAUUUUAAAUUUGAAGUUUAAAAUUUGAUAUUUAAAAUUUAAAAUUUAAAUUUUAUUGAAAUUUGAAAUUUGAAAUUUGAAAUUUUAACUUUUAAUUUUAAAAUUUAGAGAAAUUCCAUGAAAUUGCACAAUGCGCAUCCAAACAGUUUAAAAAUUGAAUCCGUGAAAUUUUUUUAGAGUUACAGGAUUUCCUAUUUCAUUUGGACCCAAACCACAGUUUAUAAAUUCCGUGGAGAUUUUUUACUGUGAAUCCAAACAGGCCCUAAAGAGAAAAACAGUAUGUUGGAAAGUCCCUGGUGAUUCUUUUCUUUAGCCUACCCUUAUAUUGUAGAAAGAGUGGUUUAGUUUUCCAAUAUUUCCUUACCGAGAGAAGAUCAAAAGCAGCCGGCUCCAGUGCUGAGAAAAUGGCAGUCAAUCCCUGCACAAAGUUUGCAUCAUAAAAAUAUAUGACAAACAAAGAAUUGUUGUGCCAAUAACACAGUCCGCUACGACCAGCAUGUCCUAUCUAUGCCGCGUAUGUCGAUAAGAUCGUACCGCUCGUGCUGACGUGUUUAAAAUACGAUGUGUGUCGAGGCAUGUUAGCGUACCUCGCAUGCCAAUAGCAUACCAACACCCCGAAUACCAGUGGCACAAUGCCAAUAGCAUACCAACACCCCGAAUACCAGUGGCAUAACAUCCGUUAAAAUAAAUAAACAUAAAAGUUUAAAGUAACCUAAGAAGGAACCCUGCUCCAGUUAGAAAAUCCCGGUAAUGCUGACACACCAGGCCAAUUGUCUUAUGUUGGAGUGCCCAAAAUACUAUAAUUUUGCAUACAUUAAUACAAGUUAGAAUUAAACUUUCAUGACAACAAAUAAAUAAUGAAUAAAUGCACGUACCGAAACAUGCGGUCAAGAACGGCAACCUUAGUGUCCCCCUUGAAUAAAAUUCUCUUUUGGUCAUCUACCAUCAGAGCAAAAAUACAACCAAAUGACCACAUAUCAACAGUUGUACUAUAUGUGUCAAAUCCAAGCAACAUCUCAGGUGCCAUAUACGCGAGUGUGGUGACCUAGUAAUCAAAAUUACAAUAGAAAGUAAGCAAAGCACACUAGAGACAAAUAAAGAAAAGAUAAAAUGCAUCGAGGCCUCUCAAUGAUAGAUCAGAUUGAAAUCAUCUGCUCAACUUCAACUUUUGGAUUCAAACAUCAUUAACAUAUUUGAUUAUUGAAAAUUAAGUUAUGUUAAUUUUUUAAAAAUAGAGAUUUUAUCAAAUUGCUUAUCAUUUCAUCAAAUUUAAUUAUUCUAAUAUUUUUUAGUAAAUAAACCUAAACUAAUUAACUGUUAAUAACUAAUAGAGUCAAUAAAGUUGAUAAGAAAACCAACUAUAAAAGUUCAAAUUAAAAAUAAAAAUAAAAAUUAAGGGAGUCAAAUCCAAAAAAAAUGUUGGAGGGUCUAUUUUAGAAAGGCUUAUAGUUGAGGGAGCCUCCAUAUAUUUUAUAUGUAUAUUAAAAAAAAUGUUGCCUGCAUAAACAUUUCAUCCAACAAAAUCACAGUUCCACUACUUACAAAACAAGUGUAAAUUGGUUGAUUGAGAGUUGAAAAUAUUGUUUGUAACUGCGUUAAUAAUUUGACCUCCAAAUAGUAUUUCUCAUAAAACGAUAAAUUGCCACUCGAUGGAAUCAAAAUCCUAAAACAUAAAUGAGCUUAUCAUGUCUGUACUAAAAUCAAAUAUCUAUUAAAAUCACAAAAAAAGUUUCUUACACUACACAAUUGGGUACACAAUUGGGAGCACCUACAGGCUUAAUUUUUUCUUUUUUUCUUUUUUAAAGAAUUAUAUCUUCUUUUUAUUUAAUAAAAAAAGAUAAACAAGACUCAAACCCUUACUCUCAACAAACGGCCUUCGUAUGUGAAUUCCUUUCUCUUUGCAAAAUCACAAGCCAUUUAUAGGAAACCAAUCAAGAAUAUAUUCUCCACCAUUUUUCUACAAGACAAAAAUUACCUUUGUUAACUUGAUCCUCAAAGAGAUUCAUCAUUUCUUUUUGGGUGUUUGGUUCAAGCUACGCAAAAUUUCCGAUUAUUUCAAUGUAACCAAACACGCCCUUUAUGACAUUUUCCCAUUCAUCGCAUCAAUAACACAUCUAUCCCAUAGCUUACGGCAUUCCAAUCUUAUUUCUUCAAUCAACUGUGAGUAAACAUUGAUCAUAUUCGAUAUAUCUAAAUCUAUUGUGAUAGGUCUUCUCAUACAACAAAACUUUUCUACAUCUUUUGCUUAAAUGGCCAAAUUCUCCACAUGUGAAACAAUGUUCUUGCCCUUCCGCUGAAAUGGCCAAGUCUUAUUCACUUUAAAUCAUGACAUAGAUAGAGCCCCGAUUCCUUAACUCAUCUCUGCAAUCCUCUAUAUGGAAAGUGCUGGGACGAUGACAACCCCAACAUAUCCUUUGCUUGAUUAUAGCCAAUUCCUGAGAUAAGGAUUUAAAAAGUUCAAAUCGAACCCUAACCCUAAGCUAUGUAGAUGAAAACCUCUUCAGUGGACUAAUGACACUGUUUUCCUACGGCUACUCUAAGUUCCCACAAGAACAAAACCCUAAUUGAGAAUGGUCUAGCUUGAACAAUUCAUUUUUUUAGGACAUUCCUAAUCACCAACAUUAUCUAACGAUACCAUAAGUUAAUGUAAUAUGCAAAUGAAAAAUGUUUCUUAUGCUGUAGCAUAAUUAAGAAAUGUUGGUUCAUAGUUCACUAACAAAAUAGGAGAGUAAAUUGCAUUUUAUUUGUGGCAUCAGUAUCAUAUCUUGGCAAUACAGUCCCCGAGCACAUCUAAAGUCGGUUACUACGAUGCGGUCAUCUUGAUCCCAAUAAAGAAUGUUCUUUGACUUGAGAUCACGAUGUAUUACAACGUGGGAAUGGCAGUGGUGAAUUGCUGAAAAAAUCUGCUUCGAGUAAUCCUACAUUAAAAAAAAAACAAAAGAAAUAAGACCAAAAAGACAUAACAAUGUAUUAAUACAGCUAAUUUAGAUAAUUUACCUUCGUCAUUAUAGGGCAACGAUCUUCAUGCCACCGAAAGUGUGAAAUUAAAUUCAUCUUAUAUUCUUGCAAUACUAAGAAUACAUGAUUAUCUUGGCCAUAAGUGCGUUCUAACCUAUAAUUUAAAAAAUAAAACAAAAAUGUUAAUUCAUAGUGAUUAAAAAAAAUAGAAAGCCGAUGUUUUUUCAUACAUUUCUGGACAGUAGGGAAAAUUUUGGUCUAGACUGAAAGGGGAAUAAAAAAUUUUAAAAAUAUCAAAGUAAAUGCAAAAUUAUAACAAAAAUCCUUAAUAGGUUAAGAUAAUGGAUUUACAACAUUUUUCUGGGAUAUUUUAUCAAAAAUUUCUUUUAAGAUAUAGUCUCCGAAAUUUAUUAUCACAAUCAACUAUAAGAAGGACCUGAAUUUAGUAAUAAUUAUACUUAAUAUGUAAGAAAUAUACCUAACAUUAUUAUCAUAUUUAAGUUCGGUGAGUAUGUAAGAUUCCCUGAUUCCCUGAUGGCAUUGAUUGAAAGAUCAUCAGUAAAUGGUAUCCUUUUCAAAACAACUUGUUUGUUGCUUUGUUUGUCCUUCGCUAGGAAAAUUUCACCGUAACCUCCUGAAUCAAGUUUCUUAAUAGUCUCAUACCGAUCCAUCUACAGAUUGGACAAGUGACUGUUUAAAAAUAAUAAACACUUUAAUAGAGUAAUACUAAUCACGGUAAAAUUCACAAAUAUAAUUAUUACGAUAAUCACAUUAGUAUGAAUAAAAACAAUAAUAAAUUAUUAAACAAUAAUGACGGUUUAAGAACAGUGAAAGCAGUUUUAGAGUUUGUGACAAAUACGACACGUUUGGCCCAGAUUCUGGAAAAGUAAUUUCUGCAGAAUUGAUUUUGGUUAAAAGCUGUAAAGCGUUUGACUGAGUUUUGAUAAAAGUGAUUUUUCUAAAGCAAUUUUGUAAAUAUGUUCGGCAAUUUUUUUUUUUAUGUUUACAUAAAUUAAUAUUUUUAUUAUAUUUUAUUUUAAAAUAAUUUUAAAUUUAAAUUUAAAUUUGAAUUAAAAUAAAAUUUUUAAAAUUUUAAAAUUGUACAAAAUUUAAAAUUUGAUAUUUUAAUUUAAAAAAUAAAUUUUUGAUUAUUAGAGUUGCCGAUCACUAGAUUGUGAGUAAAAUUACAUUACAAAUAUAAAAAAUUAAGAUAAGAUUUAUAAGAACUCCUAAAAUGAUAGAAUCUUUUCUUUGAUUAGUGAAAAGGAAUCAAACAAUGCAAUAAACAGUGAGAAACCAAAACUAUUGCGAAGUACAUUACAAACAUAAAAAAUUAAAUUACAAAUAUAAAAAAUUAAGAUAAGAUUUAUAAAAACUCCUAAAAUGAUACUUUAGAACUUAAAUAACAAACAAAACCAAACGAUUUUGACUAAUUUGAGAAUAAUAAAAUAAAACGAGACAUAAUAGCCUCUUUGAUUGGUGAAAAAGAAUUAAACAACACAAUAAGCAGCGAGAAACCAAAACUACUAUCGCAGAGUACAUUACAAGAAAAAACAUAAAAUUUUUCAUCAUCCGAGUUGCCGAUCACCAGAUUGUGAGUAAAAUUAUAUUACAAACAUAAAAAAUUAAGAUAAGAUUCAUAAGAACUCCUAAAAUGAUGCUUUAGAACUUAAAUAACAAACAAAACUAAGUGAUUCUGACUAGUUUGAGAAUAAUAAACUAAAACGAAACAGAAUGGUCUCUUUGGUUGGUGACAAAGAAUCGAACAAUGCAAGAAGCAACGAGAAACCAAAACUACUGCGGAGUACAUUGCAAGUAAACAUAAAUUUCUUGAUCAUCAGAGUUGCCGAUCACCAGAUUGUGAUAAAAUUACAUUACAAACAUAAAAAAUUAAGAUAAGAUUUAUAAGAACUCCUAAAAUGAUACUUUAGAACUUAAAUAACAAACAAAACCAAACAAUUCUGACUAAUUUGAGAAUAAUAAAAUAAAACAAGACAUAAUAGUCUCUUUGGUUGGUGAAAGAGAAUCGAACAACGCAAGAAACAGCGAGAAACCAAAACUACUAUCGCGGAGUACAUUACAAGAAAAUAUAAAAUUUUUCAUCAUCCGAGUUGCCGAUCACCAGAUUGUGAGUAAAAUUACAUUACAAAUAUAAAAAAUUAAGAUAAGAUUCAUAAGAACUCAUAACAUGAUACUUUAGAACUUAAAUAACAAAUAAAACCAAGUGAUUCUGACUAGUUUGAGAAUAAUAAACUAAAACAAAACAGAAUGGUCUCUUUGGUUGGUGACAAAGAAUCGAACAACGCAAGAAGCAGUGAGAAACCAAAACUACUGCGGAGUACAUUACAAGAAAACAUAAAUUUCUUGAUCAUCAGAGUUGCCAAUCACCAGAUUGUGAGUAAAAUUACAUUACAAACAUAAAAAAUAAGAUAAAAUUCAUAAGAACUCCUAAAAUGAUACUUUAGAACUUAAAUAACAAACAAAACCACUUGAUUCUGACUAGUUUGUGAAUUAUAAACUAAAACGAGACAGAAUAGCCUCUUUGGCGCGUAGAAAAUCCGCUGCAGUGGAGGUGGAGGGAGAAGGCGGAGGAAGAUGACGCGUUAUCAUCCUCGUUAUCAUCGCGGAGGGCCAUGGAGGCAGUGGAGGAUGGUCGGAGAGAAAAAAAAAAAAGAGGAUCGCAGCGCGGCCUCGGCGGAGUCGGAGGCGAGUAGGGCAAGGGGUGCGCGAGCGAGGGUGAGGGCGUGAGCGGCAGAGACAAUAGGGGUCGUUUCCGCCUUCGCCUUCGUCGCCUUCUUUGGCGAGAAAAAAAAAACACAAAAAAACAUAAGGAGAGAGAAAAAGAUAUAUGGGUAUUUUGGUCAGUUUACUAAAAAUUCUGACCGAAUUUGCAAAAUCGAAAAAGACUGUCCAGUUUUGCAAAAACUUAAAACUUAUGGAUUUUUAUGCAAAUUAGCCAUAACUUUUCUAUUUUCUUACUAUUUCUAAUAAUUGUUCUGCUCCACUACCCCUAAAUAGUUUUUCGUGAAAAAUGGAAAAAAUUCUUCUAUUUCCUUCUUUAUCUCUAAACAAUUUUCUGUACUAAAGGGUAAAAAAUUCUUUUAUUUACUUCACUAUCCCUAAACAAUUCUCCGUGAAGAAGGGUAAAAUAUUCUUCUAUUUCCUUCACUAUUCCUAAUAGUUCUCUGUAAGGAAUGGUAAGAAGUUCUUCUAUUUACUUCACUAUCUCUAAACAGUCCUCCGUGAAAAAAGAUAGAGAAUUCUUCUAUUUCUUUCACUAUUCCUAAACAGUAAUCCGUCAAUUAGAGCGUUUGGCUGAGGGUCCGUUUGUUAUGUUAAACCUUCACUUCACCUACUCUCGACUUUCUACUCUAAAAUGUUGAAGUCGAUUUCCGCCACACUCAAUCUCCUCUAAAAAAUUUAUUAAAUAGUAAAACCUAAACUCUACUUCCUUUAUAAUGAGUUAGAAUUACUUUAUUUAUAAUAAAUUAGGAUUACCUUAAAAUAAUAAUAAAAAAUUUAAUUAUAUAAUAGGUUAAAUUUUAUAACGGUAAAUUUAUUACCAUAUUUAGGAGAUAACGAGAUCCACUUACUUACAUCAAAAUAAACAGAAAAAAUAAUUGAAUUUAACUUUCAGACUGUACGAGUUACGUCAAAACAAAGAACAAAAAAAUAAUCACACUUCAAGAAAACUCAAAUACCAUUGCAUUUGACCUACGUUGGAUCUACAUAUUCGUCAAUCCAAACGCCCCUUGAGUUUAGGUAAAAGUAAUUUUUCUGAAGUGAUUUUGUAAAUCUGUUUGGUAAAAAAAUUUAGAUGCUUGCAUAUAUUAAUAUUUUUACUAAAUUUUAUUUUAAUAUAAUUUAAAAUUUAAAUUUAAAUUUAAAUUUUAAAAUUGAAUUUAAAUUUAAAAGUUAAAUUAAAAAUUUAAAUUUGAAUUAAAAGUAUAAUUUUUAAAUUUCAAAUUUGUACAAAAAAUAAAUUUGAAAUUUCAAAAUUUUAAAUUUUGAAUUUAAAAUUUAAAAUCUAAAUUUAAAUUUUUAAAUUUAAAAUUUAAAAUUUAAAAUUUGAAUUUUGAAAUUUAAAAGUAAAAUUAAAUCUUAAUUUUGAAUUCAAAAAUUAAAGUUAAAAAUUUUGGAUUUUGAAAUUUAAAAUUAAAAUUUAAAAUUUAAAUUUUAUAAUUUGAAAAUUAAAACUUGUAAAUUUAAAUUUUAAAUUUUAAAUUUUAAAUUUUAAAUUUUAAAAUUUUAAUAUUUUAAAUUUAAGUUUUAAAAUCUGAAAUAUCAAAAUUUAAAUUUUAUCUUAAAUUUAAAAUUAAAAUUUAAAAUUUAAAACUUUAAAAUUUGAUGUUUGAAACUUAUAUUUAAAAUUUAAAAUCUAAAUUUUAAGUUUGAAAUGUUGAGAUUUAAAAAUCAAAAUAUGAAUUUAAAAUUUUAAAAUUUAAAUUUAAUGUUAAAUUUAUAUUUUAAAUUUAAAAUAAAAAUAAAAAUUUAAAGUUUUGGAAGAGCAGCUUUUUUCUAUUUUUGAUUCUGCAGGCUUCAAAAUUAAUUUUAUGAUUCUAAAAAAGAAUUCCAAAUUUUUUAUCGAUCUUUCUCAUUUACUGAGUACUGAGUUUAAAAGUAAUUUUGGAUUCAAAAUUAUUUCUAAGAAACUAGGCCAAACACCCCAAUAUGGGCAAAGAAAUGUAGUUUUUCCUUUUAUAUCCCUAGCUAAUCGCUCAGAUCAGAUCAAGCCUCGCUCCGACCUUCGUUGUCUUUCUCCUGUCUCUUCUUCUUUUUCCUCCUAUUGUCUCAGAUCCCUCGAUUCCCUUACUCCGAUCUCUUCCUUCGCUCCGGCGAGGGGUCUCCUACGCCGAUCCCUCCCCGUUCUCAAUCGCAAGCGCACGAGAUCCGGCGCGAGAUCCCACGCUGGAUUUAGCCAUGAAUCCCUUCUCCUCGGGAACUCGGUUAAGGUAAGCUCUCCAUCAUUUCCUACCUCUUCGAUCGAUUCGCGCGCUUCUCGAUCUCGAUCGUGCGAAUUCGUGCUCUCCUUGGAAAUCGUUCGAUUCAGCUUAAUUAGAUCUGUUUGAGAUCACAGCUUAAGGAUUCGAUGUGUCGCGUUCGAGCUAGUUGAUUCUUGGGAGUUAGAACCUUAGCAGAUCUCUGUUCUCAUUGUGUCGUGAUGAGUUCGUUUUCAGGUUUUCUUGAAUAUAAGUCAGAACAUAAAGUUAUGCUGUUUUCUUUGAUUGGGGAGUCCGUUCAAGAAUGUCUGCGAUCCACGAUUGGGAGGGAAAUUUAGGAAAUUUUUUGAGCCGGUUCAAUUGAAUCGAAUGCAAACAUGUUCUUUUAUUCACAUUUGUUCUAUCAAAAGUAAGGUUGCCCCCCUCUCUUUUUCCUUGGUUCUAGAUUUUAAGUGUGUCUUAUUGAAUUCUUUUAUUUCUUGAUGCAUAUGCAAGAAUUAUAAAAUUUGUUGUUGUGGUACGCUAGAUGCAGGUCCAGCAAAACUGCAAUUGCCUUGGUUCUGAAUUUGAAGCAUUUCUAUAGAUUGUUCCCUGACCCAUAACUGUUAUUUACUUUAAUCCUUGAGUUUCUUGAGGAUAAACACUGAAGGAACCAAAAAUGUUCGUAACAUUAGAAUAGUCAACACAGUCUACAGUGAAUUAUAUAGCUGUUUGUUAGAGAAGGCAAGCAUAGUAGAAAAUGAAGGAGAGAAAAUAUGAGAAGGAAAGUGAUUUUCUUUGUCUUGGUUGGAUAUUUAUAGAAGAAAAGAAGAAGAGAAUAGCCGUCCUCUAUGUUGUUUAAAAGGACAUGGCAGAAAGUAAAUCAAAUACUACUGUACCCUUAUUUGGAUGUUCUUGCUUUCGAAACUGUUGCAUUCACAUUCCUUUGUUAUAUUUGGUGUCCUAACAUCAAAAAUGACCGCUGCUUAGUUGGUUCUUAUUUAAAUGGAGUCUAAUUGUUGUUCAAAUGGAAAUUGUUGUUAUAUAAAUAUUGGGAACCAUUGGUAUAAUGACCUCCUAGGAUGUUUAACUAGCCUGAUAUCAAUAUCAAGACUUGUUAAAUGUGAAUCCCACGUUUUGAGACAUGUCCCUUUUGUUGACUAUCUUACUAUUGAUUUGCAUCCUUCCAGAAGAUUUCUUUCAUGUUCUUCUUGGUUGAUUUGGCACGAGCUUUGUAUUUGAACUCUCUGAUCUUUCUUCUUGUUGGAAUUUUUAUGCUUUAUAGAAUACAUUUCAACCAUUUCCACCUUUUUAAAACUGAAGCAACUGACACACAUCUUCUAAUAUUCUAGUGUGCUUACUUCCUACCGUAUACAUGUUUAUGUGAGCACACGUCCAUUCUCUUAAUGUGAUCACCAUUAUGCAAGCAUGUUUCUGUAUACGUAUCUGUGUAUAUCAGAAGUUUGUGAACAAUAUGAAGUAUUUCUUUUCAUUAUUGGAUUGUAAUGGUUUCAAUCUUUCAGUAGAAAUACUUUCCUUGUUAUUUUUCCAGUUGUAUGUUGAGUCAUUUAUAGUUGUAUUUAGCUUGAGAAUAUAACUGCAUGAUACUUUGAUCAAUUUUUCUUCUUUGUCCAGUUCCUGUGUAGAGCCAGAUGAGCAAACUUGAAUUCUUAAACUUAAAUUGUCAAUAUCUUCAGUUUUUUAAGAGUCUAACCCUUAAAACUGCAGGGAUAUGAUUCGAGCUAUACGUGCAUGCAAAACUGCUGCAGAAGAGCGUGCGGUUGUAAGAAAAGAAUGUGCUGCUAUACGUGCCGCAAUUAGUGAAAAUGAUCAAGAUUAUAGGCAUCGUAAUCUUGCAAAACUCAUGUUUAUUCACAUGCUUGGCUAUCCCACUCAUUUUGGUCAAAUGGAAUGCCUUAAGUUAAUAGCUUCUGCUGGGUUUCCUGAAAAAAGAAUUGGCUAUCUGGGCCUCAUGCUGCUUCUUGAUGAAAGACAAGAAGUUCUUAUGCUGGUUACAAAUUCCCUGAAACAGUAUCCACUACAUUUGUAGUUUACUGCCUAGCUUUACAUCUACUUCACUAGAACUGUAGGAUAUUUUACACUGAUUCCUAUUAAUUGAUUUUGUACAUUGCAAAAGUCAUCUUUCUAUCUAUUUAGAAUCCUUGACAUGUGCAGAGAUCUAAAUCACUCAAACCAGUAUAUUGUGGGUCUUGCUCUUUGUGCUCUUGGAAAUAUAUGUUCUGCUGAGAUGGCACGGGAUCUCGCUCCGGAAGUAGAGAGACUACUGCAUGGGAGAGACCCAAAUAUUAAGAAAAAGGUACUUACUUUCCCUCUCUAUAUCUAUUUGUGGAUCAUAUUUAGAUGAUUUAUGUCUUUUAAUCAGAGCAUUCAAGUUUAAAUUCAGUAAGUACUAAAUUCAUUACAGUCCCUAUACUGUAGGAGAGUAAUUCCCUCAGUUUAUAAAUAGUACUUCAUACAGAGAACAAUAUUAACUUCUCUUUAAUUUGUCCUAGAUUCUUAGUUUUGGUUAAAUGUCUCUUUACUAUCGAGUACAUUAUUAUUAUUAUUUUAAUUUGUAUUUAAAACUACAAAGAUCAUCAGCUCAGCGUCAUGCUGAUUAAUUGAAUAUUUAUUCAUGCAUUUUCCUUGUUGCUUGGAUGCACCUCUUUGAUGAGUUUUUCUUUUGUGUUGUUCCUCAGAGUCAGGUACUUUUUAAAUUUGAUCACCAGCUAUUUCAUUUGAAUUCAGUAAAAUUUUGGGCCUCUUUUGUACUUUCUAGGAUACAACCUUAUGUGGUUAGAAUCUUUUGAGUUAUGGGAUAAGCAUAAAGAAUAAGGAAUCUAACAAAUGGCAUAAAAAAAAUUGGACCUUGGUUUUGUACCUGGGCUGUAAGAUCUGACCAUGUAAGCACAGAUUUCCGAAAUUAACUAGGGAAAUAAGACUGGGUUUACUCAUUUCUAUCUAAAUGUUAUAAUAGUUGUUUUAUUGUCUGGAAAAGAAAUAGUAUUGCUUUACUAUUUCCUGAGAGAUCAUUCUAUAAGUUGUGACUCUCUAAUAUGUCCUAGCAUAUUUUAACUAUUGUAUAUUCCUUUUCAAUAAAUGUGUUAAGUUUCUAUGAAAUAUGUAGCUAAUGUUGGAACUGUUGGAAGCUGGUUAAAGACGGGGCGGGACGUGGUGGUAAAUAUGCUUUUGGAGCUUCACAAAGUCAUUGCCAACAUAUUAUGAUGAUGGGUGAAAAUUUACCAUGAACUCAUCAUGCCAAUCUUAUAAUGUAUGAGUGCGAAGCAAUUGCUUCCUUUUGAUUGCGGUGAUUAAUCAUAGGGCGGUGUUAAUCUCUGCAAGUUGCACUCCCUAUCUUGAUAUAGUACUUUAAAAAGUAAUUUUCGUGGAUGGGGGAUGUAGUUAGUUUCUCUCUCGAUGAAUUCCUAUUUGUGAGAAUAGUUUGCAUUUUCCUUGAUGAGUAGCUAAUCUAAAUGGCUUUUAUUAUCCAUUGAUUAAAAGUUGCUUCUUGCUUCCUAGGCUGCUUUGUGCUCUAUAAGGAUCAUAAGAAAAGUUCCUGACUUGGCAGAGAACUUUAUGGGACCUGCUGCUUCGCUGCUGAAGGAAAAGCAUCAUGGAGUUCUCAUAGCUGGAGUUCAGCUCUGUACAGAUCUAUGUAAAGCCAACACAGAUGCCUUGGAAUAUUUGAGAAAGGUAUCAUGCACAUUAUGAGCAGUAUUUGGGUUUUGUGUUAAGGUCUUUUGGAUAAUGCAAAUGCUUAACAAAAAUUUCUUCCCAUGAUACACUUUUACGGAUAUUUCUAUUUUGCAGCAUAUUCUUCCCAUGGUUGACAUUUACUGAUAUUUCUAUUUGGCCAGCAUACAUUGUUUAAACACUAAUUUUUUUUUUCUAAAGAAAAUAAAAUCAGUUUCAAUGAGGGCUGACCUUGAUGCAUGGAUACCACUUUUCGAUUGCAACCUAGUUGUCAUGAUUCUGAAUCCUGGAAACAGCCUCACCACAUAGUGGCGCAGGCCUGCACAAAAGUUGUCCCUCUGGCUUCAUAGAAGCUAGAGCCUUGUGCAUUGCAUUGUGCCCUUUUUUCAACCAAAAUCAGAAAUAUAUUUGAGCUCACUGCUUUAUUACAACGAAACCGCAUUUGUGAGCCUAUCCAUAUUGGCUUGUUUUUUAUUUUGGAGAAUCCAUAGAAGAAAAGGAUCAACAUGGUUUGUUUGGCUUAUCUAAUUUUAUGCCUAAGCUUCUUUUCAAAUUGUUCAAGGGAGCUUGCUGUUUCUCUUGUUCAAGUAAUUGUUUGUCCAUUUGGAACAAUCUUGAGUAUGGAUUGUCCCUUUGAAAAUGUGAACUGCCAACAUUUUCUCAAGUUCAUUUCUUUUUCUAUUCUAAUAUCCAUAACUAAAGUGAUCAUGUAACUAGUGUCAAGUGUAAUACUUAAAGCCGUUUUCUUUGGCUCGGUGUAGAGUUGAGUAUACAGCAAACUUAGACAUUUUAAAAUAUGGUAUUCCUGGAAUCUUAUGGAAGUGGCUGGAUUGGACCCAUCAAACCUGAUAUUGUUGUGCAUAAUAAACUUGUGGAAAACCUUUAAAGAAGAUUAAUAGAAACAAUUAUUGAAUGCAUGAAGCUAGCUUGCUUUGAGUAACUUUGAAAUCUGGAAUGGCGUGGCUAAGAAAAACAUUAAGAAGAACACAAUGAGCAUUUUGUGCUAUAGCUAGUAAUGCCAAAGGUAUCGUGAUAGCAGAUGUUCUUUUGGGGAGUAUAUGUAGAAGAGCAGUUUGUAUAUGCUAUUGUUUUUUUUUUAUCUUUGUGUCGGAGUACCAGUUUGCUUGCCUCUUUCUUUUGAGAUGGAAAUAUCAUGCUUCAUGAAGACAGAUAUUUCAUCAAAACAGAUUAUAUACGUUAUAACAAGUUAUUAUCUGUCGCUGUCCUGUUGUCUAUAUCUCUUCAUCAAAUCCAUUAUCCUGUAGAAUAUUUCUGCCAACUUUCUAAGUGUUUACUGUUUGUGGUUCUGGCCUCUUCUGAUGUAAGCCAUGUAUAUCUUUGUUGGAAACUAGAGAUCGUAGUAGGUACUUUUCUUAACUUUGUUUUAGAUUUCGGUGGAUACAUUUUCUUACGUAAACUGUAUUUGUUGCUUAAUGUUUUUUUUUUUCAGUUGGUUUUCUUGACACACUCCUUUUUGAUUGUAGAACUGCACAGAAGGAUUGGUUCGUAUCUUGAAAGAUGUUUCAAAUAGUCCGUAUGCUCCUGAGUAUGACAUUGCUGGUAUCACAGACCCUUUCUUGCACAUCCGAGUGCUUAGGCUGAUGCGCAUGUUGGGCCAAGAGGAUGCAGACUCUAGUGAAUAUAUGAAUGACAUUCUUGCACAGGUGAGGAAUCAGGAUCCUCUUUCUAUUUCCUCCAAGUAUAUAAUGUUAUGUGUACUUACGUAAAUACUGAUCCUCCAAAUGUUUUAGUUAAUGUCCUGGUUCAAGGUUCUAACAUAGAUUUCCCUUUUCUUUUUCUUAUUGAAGUUUAGAUGGUGAUUUAGUGAUUUUCUGUUGAAUCCUUAUGUACUUGAAAAAGUUUUACUGUGCCUUUUGUCUUCUAAAUUGUCCGUAUCAAAGCUAUCUAUCUUGUUUUCUGCCAUGUAGUUUCUAUAGCUAGUUGGAUUACUAAACUUGCAUCAUUUAGAAGUUGAUACAUACAUGUUGGUUGUAAAAUUUGCAAAUUUUACUGUUUUGUUUUUGGCUUUUCCACUUUGUUUGCUUGCCAUUUUUAGGUUAUUCAUAUGGCCCGAGUCAUAGCUUCAGUAAGAUGUGUCUAGAAGUUUUAGCUUGGUUUUAAAUAUCUUCCAAUUGAUAUGUCCUAUAUCUGCAGUUAUAUUUUGUAACUAUUUAUUUCCUUUCCUAGGUUGCGACGAAAACUGAGUCAAACAAAAAUGUUGGGAAUGCUAUUCUUUAUGAGUGUGUUGAGACUAUAAUGGGGAUAGAAGCUACCAGUGGCCUACGUGUUCUAGCUAUCAAUAUUUUGGGAAGAUUCCUGUCAAAUCGUGAUAACAAUAUCAGGUAAAUACUCUUUUUAUAUUUGUGGUUUAUUUAUGCAUUUGUGAAAUUUGUACUUUGGGAAGCGUGGGCCCAUGUUCUACAUCUUCUGCAUUUAUGAAUUUGUUGAAAGUGAUAUAUGUAAUCGACCCCAAUUAGUGAACUAACAUUUGACAAUUGCUAUUUGACUAAUUUACAUAAUUACUGAAUGCUGUUGAUAAUUAAAAUGCUAAUACAUAGUGUGGAUUUGGUCCAUGCUUCUGUGUGAGGGGUUGGGAAAAACAAAGCUUCAAACUAAUUAGCUUAUGAAGUAUUAGGGUAUUCUCCUUUGGACGUAAUUGAUUGGGAUAAAUGAAAUACACUUGUUAGACCUACCAAUUGGUUGGAUUGGUUGCUUUCGUCCAUUUGAGUAUUCGCAUAAUUUGAUUAAGUGAAGAUUACACGUCUAGUUUGUACACGUUAAAAGUUUUAUCUAGUUGAUAACAGAUUCUUUGUUGGGAAAGUUCCAGUUUCUUUUUCUCUUGAAUGUUAGUUCACUUAUUUGUUUAAUAAUCUAUUCUUCUUUUGUUUUCCCCUUCCAGAUAUGUUGCACUGAACAUGCUCAUGAAGGCCAUUACAGUAGAUGCUCAAGCGGUGCAGAGGCACAGGACAACGAUAUUAGAAUGUGUCAAGGUAAUACAGCUUCACCCUUUAGAUUUUAAGAAAGAAAGGACUAAUUCUUUUCUUUAUUGAGAAGAGCAACAGUACUUUCGUUCUCUUAUUGCAGAAUGAUAUGGUGUAGAACUGAAAAUUCAUGUUGUGGCUUGCUUUGUACAUAAUUAUUACUAUUUUGAUUAAAUAGAAACUAUCUUUUUUUUCCCCUCCCUUUCGGUCUUCUAUGACAAUCUGAAGUCUGUUUCUUUUAUCUUUUACAAUGUGCAGGAAAUUGUGUUGAAAUAUGAAUCACUUCCAAGAUCUAUUGAAACAUCUUUGUUUUAUUGUUAAAUUCUUUAUUUAGUUUUCCGAUGUUACACUUGCUGGACAUAAAAAAUAAAGUUGUUCUGCUGGAUAGUUCGAUCACUUAAUAGAAGUUAAACUAAAGUAGUAUUCGUCUUAGUGAGAUCAUAUAUAUUAGUUACUUUAUUCUAAUGGUACAAAUGGAACACAGACUUUGCAGUCAGUUCUGUGUCAUGCUUGUGCAAACUCUCUAUUAUUCAUGUGAUUGAUUGUGUGCUUCAAGUUGCCUCGAAUUCUAUUUUCCAUCUUUAACUAGAUUUUGGUAUAGUUCACUAAAGGGUUCAUAGUUAGCUGUCUAAAGGUGUCUAUUAUCUCUGCUACUUGUAGUCAAAAGGAUGUAAAAUUUGACUUGCAACUUUCAGGAUUCUGAUGCCUCAAUACGGAAAAGGGCUCUGGAGCUUGUUUUCCUGUUAGUCAAUGACGGCAACGUGAAGCCUUUGGCUAAAGAACUUAUUGACUAUCUAGAAGUAAGUGAUCAAGAAUUCAAGGGGGAUUUAACUGCCAAAAUUUGUUCAAUUGUUGAAAAGUAAGUUCUUUCAACUUUUUGUUAAGUUUCAUAAGAUAUAAUUUUCAACAUUUUAAUGCUUAUAAUAUCCACAUUUCCUGCCUUUUAAAACUUUAUUCAAUUAGUUCUGCUAGUCGACUUGUUAAUAUAGUAGCAUCUUUCUUACACCCACCAGAAACCCACCAGAAAUAGAAUUCACUGAAUGCUGACAAAUCCUUUGCCACUCAAGUUUAUGGCAUCUGCCUCAUUUAGGCCCCUUCUUCCCUUCAAUAAUCCAAAAUUGAAUCUGCCUGCCUGGCACUGUAUGGUAUAGGUAUGGUGUGUAGACCAGCAACCCUUGGAUUUUAGGUGGUUAGCUAUUGAAGUGAAAAAAAGGCUGGAUGUGAAAAUUGUUAUGCAUUAAAUUAUAAAAAAACUUCUUAGCUCAAAAAUGAAUCUUUGUGAACAGUGUGGAUAUCAUUUGAGCAUGUUUCCCAUCUCUUCUUGAGAAACAGGUGGGGGUAUUUCCUUGCAAAAUUUUAUUUCACUUUUUCUAGCUUAUCUCCUGGUUUGAAAUUGAAUUUAAUUUCUUUCCAUACUUAACAAACAACAGCUAGUUCAGGGCUCCAUUUGCUAGCUUCAACGAUAAUUUCAGCGCCUUCACGAGCAAAGAAUGGCUUUCUUAUUCCCACCUGGGACUUGUUUGGCUAAUGAAUGCUUCUACCCUUAGUUUGACCCUAUGGAAGAUUUACAUUGUAGUGAUUGGGGUCUUCCUUCUUGAUUUUUGUAUGGUAUAACUAUAUGUGGCAUAAUAUAGUAACCUCCUCAUGAGAAGUGUAUGAAAUUUGGGUUAUUAAAUGCCCUUUCAAGACCAAACCGCGAAGUUAAGCAGCAGCAAAUGCAUGUUUGAUGCACGGUGUGUCUUUGUGUACGUAUCUCGCUUCAAACCUUAAUUUAACCAACAAGACUGGAAUUGCAUACGCUAGCUUAGACAGGGGUUAGCAAGGACUGAUAUGCUGGUUGGCAUAGCGAGCACGUGCUAACUGGGCUUACUGUCUGGGCCGCUUGCUGAUGAGUGCUGGCACUUAAAUGGGCUCUGUACAUGGUCUGUACUGACCGUGCUCAGAGUUAGUACUGUGCAUAUAGUGGCAUGUAUUGUGAGGCAUGCUGCAGUAAGUGAAACAUGAUUGCUAGGGCUUGGGGGAAAAAAUAGUUCUUCGGUUGCUGUAGUGUCAUUUUUUCUCCUGUUUGUUUAAGAAGUGAUUGAUAGCAAGUUAUGAAAGAAAUGAGACUGCAGCUAAAUGUUCUUUUGAGACGAUAAUCUACUGCAGGGUUAUUUUUGCUCUUCAACUUAUAGUUGAUAAAAAAUAAAGGUGGUCUUGUUUAGUUAUAUUUUUACUCUCAAAUUGGAGGGAAAUCAUUAUCUUUGACUAAGUAGUUAUUCUUAUUAUAUAUGAGUAUGAAAGUUGAGACCUGAAUGAUUACUAUCUAAAUCCUCUCUUUAACACACUUAUGUAGCUAAUGAUUUUGCUACUUCCGUUAUGUAGGUUUUCUCAGGAGAAGCUGUGGUACAUUGAUCAAAUGUUCAAGGUCUUAUCUCUGGUAGGUGAGGAAGUAGUUUCAUGAUUAUUCUGAAAUUCACGAAACAAAAAUAUAAACUUUUUUGUUUUUGGUAUCUUGCUGAAUUACACAUUCCUAUCUAAUUUUAAAAUUUCUUAUGGUUCUACCUGCAUUAUAUGUUUCAACUGCAAUCACUUGCAUCUUUUUUUCCAGUAAGUGUCUGGUAUUAACAUUCCAUCUAUUUUGUGGUCGUAGUUUAGGAUGACAUAUGGCGACUGGUCCUCAGCUAUUCAUUGUAUUCUCUGCAAGUUGCAUAAUCCUUGUAACAACUGCGACACAUUACUCCUUACCUUCAGUGAUUUAGUAACUUAUUACUGGUGCAAAUCACAUGCUAAAUUUCUUAGAACACCAUUGAUAAAGACAUAAAUAAUGUUACUAUUUUUUCAAGUAUGCAUAUUUUUGGCAAUUAUCAUCUUAUUUUAUAUUGGUUAUUUGUCUAAAGAAUGUUUAUUUACUGUGAAAAAGUGAGAUCAGGCUAAUAUAAGGAAAACGUGAGAUCAUGCUAAUAUAGUUCUUCCUUUUUUUAUGGGGACAAUAUCAGCAUCAUCUUUUUAUAAUUAUUUUUUACAGGCUGGGAAUUACGUAAAAGAUGAUGUGUGGCAUGCCCUUAUAGUUGUGAUAAGCAAUGCACCCGAUCUUCAAGGUUACUCUGUUAGGUCCUUGUAUAGGGCAUUGCAAACAUCAUACGAGCAGGUAUCUUGAAUUAUGCAUUGCUAUUCUUAAAGGUGUGCAUUCUUGGUAUUCACUUUGCUUCAUGCUUUCCCAAUUUUUGUUGCUUAGGAAAGUUUAGUACGAGUUGCUGUGUGGUGCAUCGGGGAGUAUGGCGAGAUGCUGGUCAAUAAUGUUGGAGUUCUUGAAGUGGAGGAACCUAUGACAGUGAGUCAAUUGUUAUUCUACUCCUAAUAAUUCUAGCAUUAUCUAGCAUACUCUAAAUGAAUGGACUUAUUCUGAUGAUAGACCCUGAUUUCUUAAUUUAGCAAUGUCAUAGAAAAAUAUUCUGGAAGUAGAAUUUAUGUUUUCCUUUGAUAAUCAGACUCUAAAUUCAUGUAUCCCAUACAUAAGAUGGUUCCUUAAAUUAAUUUUCAAUGUGUCAUAAAGGAAGGCACUCUCUGUAAUUCCCAUAUAGGUUGUGCUACUUUGUGCCUAUGGCACAUGGGCUAGUCUUAUCCAACUGCUCAUCUCAUAUCCCCUUUAAAGUCUAUUAACUAUCAAGGAAUAUGCAGUGCUAACAUGCAGAGUUCAUUGUUUGGUGUUAACUGAAUGAAGCUUAUCAACUUUGGAAAUAUGCUUAGAGGACGCACUCUUUUAGGGUAAAUUAUUCAGGAUAUUCUUGUUAAAGGGCGUGAACAACACAGUUUUCUUAUCCAGGUAACAGAAUCUGAUGCUGUGGAUGCCGUAGAGGUUGCCUUAAAACGUCAUUCUUCAGACAUGACUACUCGAGCUAUGUCUCUGAUUGCUCUUUUGAAGCUCUCUUCACGAUUUACACCCACCUCAGAGUAAGUUUUUUUGACAACCGGAUAUACCAAUUGCUUUCUUCUCAUCCUUUAUAUGUUUGCAACUUUGCAUGAUGUCAUUUGCCUGAUUUCCUUCUUGUUUUGCACACUUUCUGAAGUUUUGAUGUCUGUUGCCUUUGUAUUCUAGGUCCAUUGACUUACUUUGUAUAGCUGUAGUAUGACUAGUUUAACAUGAUAUACUUUGUGUUUGUUAUGUAAAUAUGCAUUUUUUGUAUGGUUAACCUUUUGAACCUUUGACUUUUGUCACAUUCUCUGAACUUGAAACCUGAAAGACUAUUAGCCUUUUUCUUGCCAAUUGGGUUUAAUCCUUUGCCUGCUGAUAGCGGCGUCGUCUUUUAUUACUCUAGAUUUCAUCUCCGGUACUCAAAAGGAGAUUUUACCUUUUUCUUCCACUAGCUUAAUUUCUGGACUUUGAUACUUCUGCAUUUGUUUCUGCAAUGUCAUAAGAUUGCAAUUCUUUUACAUUGUUUGAUUUGUCAGGAGGAUAAAAGAAAUAGUUACACAGCAUAAAGGGAGUGUCGCACUAGAAUUGCAGCAAAGAUCAAUUGAAUUCAACUCUAUUAUCCAGAGGCACCAAAAUAUCAAGUGGGUAACUGAUCUUUUGGUCGUCAACAAUAUAGCGAGACAUCCAUUAAAAAUUCUUGUGGUUGAAUCCAUGCAUUUAUUGUUAGGCUGCUGGUGCAUGUGCAGAUCUUCUUUGGUGGAACGAAUGCCUGUCUUGGAUGAGGCAGCUUAUUUAGGAAAGAGAGCAGGUUCUUCUCAACCAACGCUUUCAGCUGAAAAAUCUAGCAAACCGACCACUUCUGCUGCAUCACUUAAGCUUCCAAAUGGCGUAGCUAAGCCACCAGCUGCUCCUCUUGUGGAUUUGCUUGAUUUAAGUUCUGAUGAUGCACCAGUUCUGCCUUCAGCCCCUAAUGAUUUUCUAAAUGAUCUAUUGGGAAUUGGCCUACCAAAUUCAUCAUCAUCAGGUUUUAUUCUGCCUUAUUCAGUAUUUUUUUUUCCUUUUAUUUGUGGACAUUCUUAUGCAUGUAUAAGAAUGAGAUAAUGACAAUUAGGAUGCUUGAUGCCAAUUAUUCCAAGAUACUUCUUGUAUGAGUUAGAGCGUAAUCUCCGUUUUAACUACACUUAGUGAUUAACUAACAGUUAUAUGAUGACUCUAGUAGUCUACUUUUUGCCUAAGUUUGAGCAUAAUUUUUGGUGAGUUUUUCAGUUUAAUCUGUUUCAUCAGACUUAACAAUGCAAUGACUUAAACUCCAUUCUUGUUAAGUUGAAGAAUGCCAUCCUUUUCUUGUAAAGUAACAUUGUCGUGUUUGAAUGGUAGUUUAAGUAUUAAUUUCGUUAUAAUGUUCUGUUUCUAGUUUUUAAAUCUUCACAUGCCCUAUGAAAUUUACUGCAGUUUUAAUGUCCUUAGUAAUAUGUUAUUGUGUUUUAUGGUCUAGUCACUUUAGCUGAUAAAGACAACAUUUUGCUGCCUUUUCUCAAUGGAUUUAAUGCAACAUUUCUUAUGUGACAUAAUCAUUACGUGAAAUUGUAUUCUUUCAGCAGAUGCUUUACAACACUUCUUCUCUAUUACAUUUUCCAGCUUCUAUGUUUUUUUCUUCAAUUUACUUCUUACCACUACUAUCUCAGAGUGAAUGUGAUCGCCACCAGACAUACCUUAUGCUUUAGGUGGUACAAUAACUGCAUACCAUAGUUCUUUCAUUUGUUGAAAGACUAAUCUAUAAUCCAAUAGAAACUGAAACCUCAAAUGCCUUUUUUUCUAUUAUUUUUGCGAGUUCACCCUUGCCUCUGUGUGAUUCUUUCUGGAGCUUUUUUUAAAAAUUUUUUUACAAGCAAAUCUCUCCAUCCUAGCAUUGACAGUGCUAAUCUCAUGCAUUUCGAGAGGGGUUCUUCUGGUAAAUCGUAAAUGAAUCUUUAGUCGGAAUUUAACUAAUUGGUUUCUUUGUUGUACAUUUUCAGGUGCAGCGCCAUCAACAACUACAGAUUUACUCAUGGAUCUUCUAUCGAUUGGAACAUCUCCUGCACAAAACGGUCCAUCAGAUUCUAAUGUUGUUCCUUCAAGCGGUAAUAUUUCUUUAAAUCAUUCUGGCGAUAACAAUCUUUAUUUAUCUCCAUAUUCCCGUCUGACGAAUGCUAUAUUUGGUUGUAGCGAAAGCAGCAGAAAGUAAACCUGCUCCUGUUACUGCUCCAGUGAUGGACUUAUUAGAUGGCUUGCCAUCAAAUGCAUCUCCUCCCAGUAAGCUCUUUUGGUGCUAAUAUUCUUACUUGGGUGCUAUGCUAAUAUUCUUUUGGUGCUAAUAUUCUUAUCAAUCUCUUGUUUUAACAGGAGAUGAGAAUUUGGUUUAUCCAACUAUUACGGCUUUCGAGAGCAGCACCUUGAAGAUAGCAUUCAGCUUCGAGAAACAACCUGAGAAACCACAAGUGACAUUGAUCAGUGCUACAUUUACAAAUCUGUCAUCAAGUACUUUGACAAAUUUCAUUUUUCAGGCUGCUGUGCCCAAGGUAUUGGAGCUGUACUUGCAUUUUAGUUUUGACAUCUUUUGCAAAUUGAACAUUCCUAAACUAAAUUCAUAUAAUUUAAUUUUAGAUUACUUAGUCAGGUUUGGGAUGGUUCUUUUACUUGAUUUCAGUUUAUUUGUUCUGUUUUGCGUAUUGAACUGCGUUGUUUGGGUCUAUUGUGGUUAGUUGGGUGAGUCAGUUGGUAUAGUCUUCUAUGCAGCAUUACCUGGCUGAUACAAAUGCCAUAUGCCCUCUGUAUUUGCCUAUAUAAUCGUUUAUUUGUUAUUCCUAAUGUAUAAAUCGAAUUUUAGUGUGAGCAACAAGGGCUAUUUUAAGCUCGGUGUUAGUUGGCAUUUCUUACUUCCACUUGACUUGCGUGGGACUAAAAAGGCCACGCCAUCUUGUUUAACAUAGCUGGUCAUCACCGUGUGGUACUGACAAUCCCAACUAUACGUUGUAGGUAGAAAUAUUUUCCAGUUGUCAUAGGUAACCGUUGCUACGAGUACUCAUGCAUGUUUUGUGAUUCUGUCCAUUCACCUUUGAUGUAAGUGCUUUAAGAAAUGGAUAGAUAAUUAUUUUGUGCAGAUGGAGGAUCUUAUAGGUUGAUUCACUUAAUGAUAUUGCAUCUUCUUUCCUCAUACAUGCAAGAGUUUCUUUUCCUUCCCUAGAGGUAUUCCUCAAAAUUAUGACCACCAAAUCUGUAUCUUUCAGUUUGUCCAGUUGCAUCUGGAUCCAGCUAGCAGCAGCACACUCCCAGCCAACGGAAAUGGGACAAUUACACAAAGCCUUCGUGUUACUAAUACCCAACAUGGGCAGGUAUUAAUAUUUGAAUUCUCUACAUCUUCUCAUGAUUCCUCUGAAAUGUCAUUAUGCGAAUAACUUUUCGCUUUCCUUUCUUUAUCAUGAUGGUUUAGAAUUUAUAGCUCUCGAACGUACAACUAUUAUGUUACUAUCUAGCAAAAGCUCAGCUGUGAACGCAACAUUCAGCUGUAAAAUGCAUCAUUGUAAGGAGCAUGGAACAGUUAAUUAGGGAGGAAAGGGUAAGAUUUAUAAAAAAGAAAUAAUUGCCUAUGUACCCUUGAAAAGUUAUUGAGUUUUGUAUUCAUCCUUUGGUUCAAAUGGACCCCUCUAAGGUUCUUUGUUUUUCUUAUACCCUUACUUUGAGGGUUUAUUUGUAAGAAUUUGGAAUUUCAGAAGGAUAGAUUUGAGCAUAGCAAUUUUUGAGGGGUAAAUAUAGAAGUCGGAAACUCUUAAAGGGUAUAUAGUCAAUUGCCCUUUGAAAACAUGUAACACACAACCAGGCGACAAAUUAAAGUCCAAACUUUUCAUUAAACAUGAUUUAGGGCUGAAUUGCAGUUAUGUGUAUCUUCAGAGAACAUUGAAAAAAAUGAAUUCUAAUAAUCAUAAAUCAUACCGAGUGAGCUUAAGCUUUACAUCAGAGUGUGACAUGGAAUAUAUUUAGAGGAAGAUACUAGAAAUUUCAAUGAUCACACAACUAAAGCACACAUCGGUAUUUCUUUUGUUUAACCAUACCAUGAACCAAAUUUUCUAACAACUUUACUUUCCAGAAACCCCUUGCUAUGAGAGUAAGGAUGGCUUACAAAUUUAAUGAUGAGGACAAGUUGGAGCAAGGACAGAUCAGCAACUUCCCUCCCGGAUUAUAGUGUUAUUUGCAGCUUGUGAGACUUACUUAGUGCGAGUUUAUGGCUGGAGAGCGGCACAGUUGUUCUCUCUUCAAUUUUCACCCACUUUUUGGUGUCACUUCGACACCCUGGGUAUUUUUCGUCGUUCAUUAUCCCUCUAUAUGUAUACUAGUCAGCAUUGUUGCGGAAUCUACUUUUACAGAAUGAAUAUCUGGGUUUAUGUACACCGCGCGUGACCUUUUUCAGGGAUAUGCAAUCAGAAAAGGACGUUUGUCAGUGUGGAACUAGUCUAGAUGAUAAUCGUCUGGAAAUGUUUUGAUAUUCUAUUUAUUCAUAAUUUGUAUUGUGUUUUCCUCGUGUAUUUUUCAGAAUUUCCAAAACAGAGUAAAUAGCUGGUUGGUUAGUAAAUUGAAUUUUACAGCAACGAGCUUGACCCUUCGCUCUAGUACUUGAUUGGUAUAUGCUUACUGUUAUUCCCAGCUUUUCUGAUUUUAGCGGAUAUGAAGACUAAACUAAUGCACAUUUGAAUCUGGGUGUGAAGUUCCUCAAAUGCUUCUUUUAUCUUUUGUCUGAAGGUGUGCCAUUUGUGAUCUGAGAUAUGGCGGAGUUGUAGUUCUAUCGUCUCGCUAGUUUGUAAUGAGUUCAGUAGUUUUAUUGCUUUUGCGUCUGAGCUGCUUUUUCCUUGGGUAAAAUUGUGUUGGCAGCCGCCAUUUUGAAGUGGUCUCCUCAACUUUAAAUAUAUUUCUUGAAACCACGCAGCUUAUAUUUUUUUUAAAAAAAUAAUUGUGACAUUAGUCUGAAUAAUUAGAGAUUUAUCAAGUUUAUUGAUGAUUUUAUUGAAUUUAAUAAUUUUAAUUAUGUUUUUGUAAACAAAAUUAUAUUAAUUGACUGUUAAUAACUAAUAUAUAGUCAUUAAAGUUAUAAAAUCUCUCUUCUCCACAAUCGCUAGAUGCAUAGCCCUCUUUCUUACUUCCUCUCCGUUCAAACUCGUUCGUCAUCUUCUCGCCUCCGUUGGACACCAAUUUACGCUUUACGAGAUCUUUUGUUGCGGCGUGCAGGAUCCCGAGGUGAUGGUGAUGCUGGUAGGGGAAUAGGAUUGGGAGUUUCUUGCGAGAGUUCGCUCUUGGUGAUUACUUUGAUCUGCUUUUCUCUUGUACUUGCUCUUUUAUUUGUUUUGGGCUUUAAUCUAAUAAGACCGAUUAAUUUGGUCUUUAAAUAUUUAUUUAUACGUCUGAGGACCGAUCUAUAUAUCUUCCCUUUUUCUUGUUUGGAGAGAUUUGGGACCAUCCACCAAUAUCUAAGGCAGACUUUAUAGUCGUGGGCUCGUGGCUAUUAUGACACUCCAUAGUUUCCGACACAAGAUAUGCUCAGGCUAACAUUCAGAAGAGGCCAGAACUAAAAACAGUAAACUUUCAGGCAGUUGGCAGACAGAUUCUACAAGAUAAUUCUAGCCAAUAAUCUCAGAUGAAUUGAGCAUUGCUUUGUGAUGAAAAAUGUGGAUUUCCAACUGAUGCAGCCAACAAUUACUUCAGACUAGAAGAAAAUUCAGAAGAGCAUCAAAUACAUGGUAAAACGUAUCCCUGUACGAUCCUGAUAAUUCUACUUGGCACCUCUUCUUCUCAAUCGAACCACCAAUAACCUUCCACAUAAUAUAGUCCUAGCGUCACAAAAUUCUUAUAAAAUGACCAAUUUAAGCUACUCGCUUCAAAUUACUUCAAAUAGGGUUCAAAAGGUUAUUCUUGAGGAAAACUUUUGAUUGUUUUGAGGGCGAGGUAAGGGACUAAAAUGCACUCUAUUUAAAGCUCGCGGUCAAAUUAGAAGUAAAAGGACUAAGUUGCAAUAUCAGGAUGGUACAGUGAUUAUCAACACACUUGAUCCUCAAAGAAUUGACUCUGUUGAGUCGGAGCAGCAAUUUUCUAACAAAACACCUCAAGGAUCUUUUACCACCUUCCAGUUGUCAAGCAGCCAGUCCAGAAACCAGUACUUUCCCCUCCUUUUUGAGGGUGCAAAAUACCAUUUUAAAAGGAAGAACCAAACACCAAAAAAGCAUUUAAAAAAAAAACAAGAACCGUUUAAUUGUUGUUGCUGUAACCCAUAUAACUGUUCCGAUACCGAAUACCGUACUGCUCAUAUAAGUGGUCCUCAUAAUUCAUAGCCCUGAUGUCCGCUCCACGCCGCUUGCUAUCCAUCUCCUGAACAGCUCCGAAUACGAUCUCAUUAUUUGAUUCAUAGCUCUGCUCAUAAUAAGUCUGUGGGCCCGAAGAGUAAUGCCGGUGAUACUGCACCUGCUGCUGCUGCCGCUGCUGCUGCUGUUGCUGAUGAUGAUGAUCUCCAUCCCACCCAUUAAAAUAAUUCGGUUGGGCGUGCCGGAGGUGGUGGAUCUUUUGUGGCUCUUUGGACAUGAAAGCAUAGGUCCUUUUAGGAUUAGGGGUUCUUCCUUCUAGUGGUGGCGGCGGCUCAUCAUCAGGGACGACAAAGCUUUCUUGAGACGGCCAAGGGUUAUCCCUAGGAUUGUAGGGCUGAGAUUGAUUAGUUGGUGGUUUCUUUUUUGAAAACAGGGAUACAGCACCAAGAAUUUGUAAUGUAGAUGAUUUGAUUCCACCAAGGAGCUUUCCUAUUGACGAAACGUAGCCACCUUCUUCAUCCUCAUGGUUUGUGGUUUCAUCCUCCGGUGGGAUUAGUGGAGGCCGGAGAGAUCGUUUCAUUGGCUUUUGGUAGGGAGGCAUGCUUGGUUUUGUAGGAGUUUGAGGUUCCUGUUAGAAAACUUCAUUGUUAGAAUUGGCAUUCAUUUAAGCAACAGGACUUUUUGGCUUCACAUCUAGCUUUGCUCCAGGGGACCUAACCAUACUGUCUUCUCUUCGUGUUCUAUUUGACUAAAACAGAGUUAGCAUUGUAUCCCUAAAUCAAAUAAUAGAUAAUAUAAUGAAGAAACAUAAAGCAAAAUUCUUUGCAGGAAACAUUCUCAGACAAUAAGAUGCAGUUACUUUCAGAAAGUUCGAGAUCCAACUGAAUAAAAUGUACAACAAAAGAUGGAAAGAAAAGAGAGAAUUUGUGAAAAGGGACAGAUUUAAUCUUAUUUUCUUGUUUUUCAACGACCAGUCGGAAUUACUGAUGGUUUAUAAAACUCAAGCAAUGCAAUUCAGCCAAAUGGAAGGGCUAUUUGGUAGUAAUGACGAGAUAGUUUUCAGGUGAAGCAUUACUGCUACGAGACACAACAACUUGUAAUUUUGUCCACUCAUCAUUAGAGUGAAAGGAGAGAAAUGUGAAGUACUCACAUUCGUGGAUGCCGAUGAGAACAUCAAUCCUACUUGCUUUUGGAGCAAAGCAAGCAUGUAACCAAAGAAGCCAGCAGCAAGGAGCACAGCAAUUCCUGCAUUACAUUUGGCCAUUGGAUUAGGAAGUACCAUUAAAGUGAAGGCCUAAAGCCUAGAAUUCUGGCCAUGAAAACCUCCAAAAAAAUGGCUCUUUUAUAACUUCCGGAAGUUUGUGCUCAGCAGAUGAUAGAACGAAAGAAGACGCUCUUAGCUAAGUUUCAGUUUCAUCCUGAAUAUCUAAGUCUAGAGUAAACUCCUCUCUGGUACAGUGCAUUUACACAUCAGUGCUCCCGUGGUUUCGUUUGUUUAGUGUAGAGUUCCUGAGGUUCCUCUUCUGUUUUGCAGCAAGGACCUUCCUGUCAACCCAUUGUAUUGAUUUUUGAUCAUGUUAUGACUAUGUUUGUGUCAGGAUUUGAUAUAAACUCAACUUGCCACUCAAAUCCAAACUCAAAUUCUGAUGGGUUUCAAGUCGAGUUUAGAUCAAAACCCACUACAUAUUAUCCCCACCCUCUGGCAUAGAUCAAAAUUGAGAGAUUCCUAUUAGACCUGUAAAAAGGUUUGACGGGAAGGUCUACAACAAAAACAAAAAUUCACAGAGUAUAUGAUUGAAUUUAGUCGAGAACUAAAGUGAGCUUAGCAAAGAUAUAGGAAUAUUGGUGUAUUCUACCUAAUUUUACUACGAAGAUGUACGUACCUAAAGGAAAACCGGUUUCAUAAUGGUAAGCACAGUCAUCGAAAUGAAGUUGGAUCUCCCGGAUCGCCUGGUUUCCUCUAUCUAUGACCAGAAGGGAACAGCUACUACCAAUGUAAACAACUUCAAAGUCGGUAGAAAAUUUUGCAUCCUCACUUGCCCCAUCGAUGUGCCCUCCUCUAUUCCAUUUUCCUCCAGCAAUGGUUGUAAUCCCUUGACAAAUAUGCAAACAAAAUAGUAAGACCAAAAUCUCUUAGGUUCUUGUAUUGUUUCUUAUUAUAUUGUUUUUCAUAGCACGACAUGGUUAAUAUGCAUACAGGGUUGAAAAUUUCACGUCAUAAAGGUUGAAACAGUAAAUUUGCUCCCCUACGAUCCAAUUAAGUUCUUCAUGUUCUCCACAACUUCAUACUAUUUUAUCUUUACUCGGACAAGAAUUUGAGCUGAAGUUUUAAUCCCCUCUUCCGAAUUCUAAAGAACUGAUCUAAUCAGCCAAUCUCUUCGCUAACAUUGUGAUCUUCCACUUAUCCACAUUUUGAUCAUUCCAUCUAAUUUUCAUGAACCUACCGAUUAUUAUUAUUAUGCAGCAACCCCAACUCCCGUUACCUGAACUCUUCUCCCAAAGUUUGAAUUGCAGGAACCUUGAAUUCACAAGAAACCACUUUUACAUCAUAUAAGAACAAAUGCUUCUUACUACCUGAAGCACUGAUCUUCCUAACUGCCAUGUUCAUUGCGUCGGCGACGUAAAUGUUUCCCUUAUCAUCUACUGUAAAUCCUUUUGGAUGGUUCAUCCUGGCUUCCCGCGGCUUCCCGUCGACGUGACCAGAAUACCCUUCUGCCGAACCGGCAACAAGCUUAGGUCUACUGUCUGCACUUCCAAAAACUUAGUUUCAGAUACAGGAAUACUUCAGACAGCCAUAAAAGAAUCUGAAGUAGAUGAUUUUUUACAGCAAAAACUGUAAUUUACAAAAAAUCGUCAAUUUGGCAAGCAAAAAUUUGUAACAAACUCACAUUUUGAUAAUGGCAACGAAACCCUAUGGAUGUUGCUAUUCGCGGAAUCCAAAAUAAGGAGAUCCCCGCUCGGACUCAUCUCCACGGCGUGAGGUUCGAUCCCGAGCUUGCUCCCGUCGAACACCGUUUCCACGGUGUACCCGCUCUCGAACUUCAUCAUCGAACGCCCAGAGAUCGCUGGUAAUUAUCUACCCACUUUAGCACCCUAAACCCUAAACCCCCCCUAUCAGCUACAAUGGAUCAAAAUCGUACCUGUUUUGGGGGACGAUUUCAGAGACCAUAGCUGCUUCCAGAGGAUCGAAAUCGCGUUGGAGAAGAGCCCACCUGCGAUUUCUACAUGUCAAAAAAAAGAAAAAUAAAAAAACCAUGGAUUCAGUACAAACUAGAUCAUGAAUCGAAUAAUAUAUAUAUAUAUAUAUAUAUAUAUAUAUAUAUAUAUAUAUAUAUAUAUAUAUAUAUAGAAUUUAAAAAGAAAAAUGGUAAGAGGAGUAGAACCAACGUGCUGGAGAAGCAGCAGAGACGGAGCAAAAGCCAUUGAGCAAAAUCGCGGUCACAAAAAGCAAAACUAAGCACUUCGUCGUCUCCAUUUCCCCUUCCGAUUAGUAAGAGUUCUCAUCUAAGCCUCUAACAAACCCAUUUUUAAAUCACUGAGGAGCAAGAGCAACUACAAUGCACGACGCCUCGGGGAAAAAACAAAAAAAACAAAAAGAAAAAGAAAAAGAAAAAGAAAAAGAAAAGCAAAAGAGGAAUAAGACAAGGAGAGAUUUGUGCUGUUCUCGCUCUUCUUUUCCCCCCCUUAUUACUCUCCGCUUGUUUUAGAGGGGAAGAGAACGCAGAGCACCGCCCGAGAAAUAAUUUGAACGCACCGGGUGCAUCAUGCACCUCACUUUCUAAGCGUAAACUACCGGUGAUUAUAUUUGAUGAAUUAAACUUUUUUAAUUGGUUUACUGGUUAUAAUGGUACACCGGGUGCAGGGAGUGCGGAAAGAGAAAAGGGUAGCAUCACGUGCCGCGGAGCCGAUGGUCGUUUAAAGAGUUUUUAUUUUGUAUAGCAUUAAAUCUCUCAAGUAUCCAAAAUAGCAACCAUUCUUUUUGCACGGGGACCAGAGAUGUCAAUCGGCACAGAUACUUAAAAUUUUAUCCGAAUUCAAAUGCAAACGAAACAGAUUUACCUGAUGAUGCUGCACAGAUAUGAUUUCAAAUAUAAAUAUUAAAAUUAAAAAUUCGAUGAAUAUGAAUUUUGAUUUUAUCCGAUCCGAACCUGAACCUGACCCAAAUUUAUUUUAUAUUAUAUAUAAUAUGUAUAUAAAAAUUUAAUAUUAUCUUUGAAUUUAUAUUUUAAAAUUUAAUAUAAUAUAUUUUGAAAUAUUGAAAAAAAAAAUUAUUUUGGGUUCGAAUUUUCGAGUUUAGAUUUUAAAUUUUUAGUCAAAUUUAGAUUUAAAUAUAAAUUUUUAAAAUUCGUCAGAUUCAAAUUCGAAUUUUAGUUUAGAAUCGAAUUCUGAUACGAAUUUUUAAAUAUUUGCCCAGAAUCUGAUCCCUACCUGGGGUUAGUGGCUCGGUGGGAAAAAGAUGGAAGGGGGGAGGGGGUUUGGGACUACUACAUCCCUUUUUCUAUUUUUAAUAUUUGGAUCACAGUUUGUCACAGAUUUCGAGGUGGGUUACAGGUUUUGGUUUUUUGACUUUUUAAGUUUCAAGGUAAAUGCAAGAUAUUAUAUUAUUCUUCGUGUAACUUUUGGACUUUAGUGGUCAAUCAAUUAUAUAUGAAAUUAUCGUCGCUAUCUAGUAAAAUUUGUUGGUUUCUCAUAUAAGAACUGAUUAAGAAGUCGACAAUUCAAUCUUUUCAAUAAUCUUGAUAAAAUUCAAAGCAUAAAACUAUGCCCGUUCCAGAAAAGUGGAAUGAGCAUUUUCAUUUUAAAGCAAGAAUUUAAAUUUAAACUAUUCUACUUUUAUUAUAAAAAAUAAAAUAUAUCUUUAUGAGAUCAUUAUUAAUUUUUUUUGAAGUAUCUCUAUUCAAAUUUGUGCUUCCGCUAAGACUUUACUACAAAAAUAAGCAAUUAGAUAUCAACAUAAAAACCAACUGCCUCUAGCGUAAGUGAUAAAGGGUUUAAUGGUUAGUACCCGAAGUUUCAAGUUCGAAUUUUAGUUGAUUUAUAUUUUCAACUAAAUUUAUCUCUAAAUGAAAUAAACGAAACGGGUAGAUGCCUGCUUUGAGUAGUAUUAGAUAGCAUUCAUUCGAAUCUCAAAAUAUGGCUCCGCACAUUAGGUGGGGACUUAGAACUGCCUCUGAUAGCAUAUUAUCCUGCGGGGGAUGUGCGAUAAAAACAUACAUGAAUAGAUGCCUGCUUUGAGUAGGCAUGAUCUUCUGGAUCCAACGGUUGAUCGUAUAAAUGAACCGCUUAGAUUAGCUUGCCUCGACACUUCAAAAUACUAACCACCUUUAUUCCAGGAGCCUCAAUGUGCCCACCAUAAUAUUUAUAAUAAUUCCUGGUGAAUAUAUUCCUCUCUUUGCGCCACUCCUUUUCCUUCAAUUUUUUUUUUUUUUCCCUUCUUAGUACUAAUAAUAAUUGCAUGUAUUCUUUGUUUGUGAGUGGUCUUCAGUGGAUCCAGGCUCCAGCUGCUUUUUCUGUGUCUCUGAUAGAUAUAGAUCUUCUCAUGCACCAAAGUCAAAAGAAUUGUUUGUUUGAAUAGUCGAUUCCUAAGGUGGUUAUUUGCAGUUUAUAUAAAAAUCAUAUUGGACUUAACUUUUGUCUUGAUUCCAUAUUGUUAAGAUGUAUUGCUCUUGGUAGUGUUAUUCCUCUGGGUUCAUAUUGGUUCUUUUUUGUUAAAACUAUGUAGAAUUAGUUGGCAAUAUGAUCAGUCUUAGAGAAUCUGAGGAGCUAAAAUAAAAAGGUCCACAAAGAAGACAAGUUUUCAUACUGGGCAGAAGGUAAGUCUUUAUAUACAUUCACAUUCCAACAAGUUAAAAUAACUAAGUAUCAAAUUGAUCAUUACACGGAUAAAACUGUUAAAUAAGAGAUCCAGUCUAUCUACAGGACAACCAAAAACCUGUACAGAACAACAGCAGGUCGACGCCUCACCCAGAAUUCUUCGACAACUUGCUCCUUUUGUAUCAAAAUCGCUUAUAAUUUCAUCAUCUUUAAUACACAGUUAGAGUCGUCAAUCUCGAACCAAAGUUUGAGCUGAGAAAGCCGGAAUGCCAUCGCUUAGAUAAAGCGAGACGAAGCUUAAUCAGCCAACUCAAGCGGCACGUCAAAGUUAACUCGACUGACGGCAAUAUUGUCAUUUUGAGUUGAAAUGGCGGCGAUUCUUUUCAACAACUUUAACACUUCACUGGUAUCAUCUACAAAGUACUUUGCCUUGCUCGGCUUUUGGCCGACCGUGCAUGCAAAAACUUCCGGGACAAUGGGAAAAAGGCUACUUGAGGCAGUACUAUUAAUGGUUUCAAACAUGUCCUCGUCAGAUCGAUCAUCACCGAUACACAUCAAAAGAUCAGGAGGCUUCCCGUCACAGAGCAUUGUUCUGAUGAGCUUCUCCACAACCAACCCCUUACUAACUCCCUACAAGUCAUCAUAUUCUUAUAUUUAAGUUCUUAUCCACAUUUACGAAGGUUCAAAGAGAUGUUACAAAUACGUACCUGAGGUUUAACUUCGACAAUAUGUUGACCCCUCUUCACAACCACUGGCUCAUUUGCAAGCACACUCUCAAGAUGGUCCAGUAGCUCCUUAGCUUGGCAUGAACCAAAGUCAUGGUCCGCGUACUGGUAAUGCCACACAAGUGCACUCUCCUUGGUUUCUAUAAAGGAGCCAUCAGUUGUUUCAGAAUAGAGCUUCAUUACAGGUUCGGCAAUCUUUUUCCACUCAGAGCCAAGAGCAGAUGAACUAGUUUCCCAGUCAGCUUCUUUACUCCACCUUUGGGGAAACAAAGCAAAUUUCAUCAAACUGUCAAAAUUAGAAGCUAAAAUGGUAACCAACUGCGUUUCAAUUCAUUACAUACCUGAUAAAAUAGCCGUGUUCAGCAGCUAUACCAAGGCCCUCGCACGAAGCAAACCACUCACCAAGAGAAGUCCAUCCUCUCCCACUAACAAUAAAUACAGUGUUCUUUGGGUCACCGCACAGAUUGUUCAGCAUAGAAAUGAUGUCCGUACUCGGAAUUUUACUAAUAGACGAUUCAGGCAUUAUAGUGCCAUCAUAGUCGAGAAAUAUCGCCCUUCUAUUAGCCUUCUUAUAAGAGGGAACAAUGUGAUCCAGAGACAACUUCCUAAAACCAUGAGAAAGGGAAACAACUCUAAAUCCUAAACCAAACCCGAUAGCCCAACACCUUUGAUUAUAGUGGUCCUUGCACGCCCUCUCGAGAUCUUGCAAAAAGCUUCUGGCCCAGUAAGCAAUAUUGUGAGAACUGACAUAGCGAUAAUGCUUUUCAUGACGUAACUGCUUCUCAGGUUCUCCUAAAUCAGUUGCUUGAUAGAAAGCAUCAGCCACAUCUUCGACACACCAAGGAUUCACCCGAAAAGCCCCACUAAGAGAAGGAGAGCAACCGACAAAUUCAGACACUAUAAGGGUGCUUUUGUGACGGAAGUUAGCAUCAAUACCUCUGCACUUAUCCAUCUCCUCAGUUCCCUGUCUACAAACUAUGUACUCAUAUGGAACUAAGUUCAUGCCAUCCCUAACAGCAUUCACAAUGCAACAUUCGGCUGCCACAUAGAAAGCGAUUUUCUCGUAGAAAGGUAUUGGGUAGUCAAUAAGGACCACAGGCUUGUAGUUUGCGGUACCAAAACAUUGAUUGACCCUUUCGGCUAUAGAAAUUGCUUCCUCUCUUGCUUCCUUAACAUCUUUUCCUGCGCUUCUUGCAGGGUUAACAAUUUGUACAAGGACUACUCCUCCUCUAAGCUUAGGGUUCCUUUCUAAUAGAAGCUCAAGCGCCAGCAAUUUGAGACUGAUACCUUUAAAGAUAUCCAUGUCAUCUACACCUAAAAGUAACGUUUUACCCUUGUAUCUCUCUUCAAUUUCUCGGACCUUAUUUACUGUGGCAGGUAGUUGUAGAACUGAUUCGAGACGGCCUAUAUGAACACCGACAGGGAGAAUCUUAAUGCUCACUGUUCGACCAAAGUACUCGAGCCCAAUAUAACCGCGUUUUGACUCAUAAUUUAUCCCUAACAUUCUACUACAACAAGAGAGAAAGUGACGGGCAUAAUCAAAUGUUUGGAAACCUAUUACGUCGGAAUUAAGCAAAGAUUUCAGGAUUUCAUCCCUAACCGGCAGCGUCCUGUAUAUCUCUGCAGAGGGAAACGGGCUGUGAAGGAAGAAACCAAGCUUGACCUGGUUCAGUCGUUUCCUUAGAAAAGUUGGGAGAAGCAUAAGAUGGUAGUCAUGAACCCAAACAUAGUCAUCAUCGGAAUUUAUCGCCUCCAUUACUUUAUCAGCGAAGGUUUUAUUGGCUGAAACAUAGGCUUGGAACAGAGAACGAUCGAAGAGUUCACCUUUGUCGAGGCAAAUCGGUAUCAUGUAAUGGAAAAGAGGCCACAGUUGCUGCUUGCAGAAGCCAUGGUAGAAUUUAUUUUGAAGUUCAGGAGAAAGGAAGGUGGGUAUGCACCUUAGCUCCUUUAGAAGUUUUUGGGCAACAUUCUCUUGUUCAUCAGGAUCUAUAUCAACCUUAAGACUACCUACGUAAAUUACUUCAAAAUCAGCAGAAAAGCCAUCUUUCAGUUGCAGCAAGAGUGAGUCUUCAUCCCAUGUGAAGCACCAUUCUCCUGUACUUUGAUCCUUUACAGAGUUCAACGGAAGGAAGUUAGCAACUAUUACUUUGCGGUUUCGAGACACUGAUCUCGAACUACUUAAAUCCUCAUCAUUCUUAGUAUCCUCAUCAACAUCAGUUAUAAUUCCAGGAGCUGUUAUUACACGCGGAAGCGAUUUCACAGCUUGACGGAAGUCGAACACAUCAUCAGAACACCCAUCAAGAAGAUUUGCAGAGGACUUCGAGGCCAUCACUGUAGCAGUUCCUAAAUUUGUGAGCAACACAUAAAACUGAAAUAUCUUUUGGAUGUAUGAACUAUGAACUCAGAAAUUGAUACCUGAAUCUUUCUAAAUAUUUAUACAAGUCUCAACAAAAAACUUGAUCCAACUUCCUGUAAUUGAAGACCUGCGGACACAAAAGACAAUAACGACAAAUAAACAAGGGUGCAAAGUAUUAUUCCCACGUGUCAAAAGUGACUUUCACGACAAAACAAAAGGCAGUUGCGUUCAUAAAGGCAGGCGCAACCAACGCUGCCAAAAAUGAAAGUGGUCAUUCCGCUCUUAUACUUCAGAUGGCUAGCGUAGAAAAAGUAAAUUUGACAAACAUAUAUCAUUUAUGACAAAGUAUGGUUGCCAAAAGAACUGGACUUCCUUUAACGCGGACAAGCCAAUAAUAAUUUUACGCACGUGAAACAAGCCAACAUACGUACAGACAGCAUGCACAUGCACGUAUCCACGCACAACAUGGGGGGCUUCACGCCAGGAAGAGAGAUGGAGGCGUUUGCAUGGACUUAGACUUGAUGCCAAAUCUGACUUGUUGAAAUGCAAAACCAACGUCUGCUAACCAAACAUGUAAUCCUAGAAACACAUAAAUCUAUAUACACACUACUGACAUUAUAAGGGAAUACAUCCAAAUUACUUAUGUUCGUCUAAUGAGACCAGUGUUGUUCAGUCUCUAGUACAUUAAGGAAACGUUUUACUCACUCGUGCAUGAUCGCAGCCAUCUAACACUAAUGAAACACAUCAACAUCUAUUUCCGAUGAUAUCCCUCGCUCCGUUAAACCUAUUUUCAGUUAGGUUGAUAGAUCAUCAUAUCCCUUUCUCCUUUCCUACCAGAACAGCGACAAAUCUCGGCUAACAAUUAAUAGGAACAAAUGACUAAAACCUUCCUCAGAUGAUACUACAAGCACAAAAAAGAUCCAUCCAACUUAUAUGUCAAAAGAGCAGAAUGAAACUCAACCAGGAACAACAUAAAUCUUUGCUGAAAUAACUGCAAAAAUCUAAACAACUUCAUGAAAUUUUUAAACAAACCCAAUCUUCAAUCUAACACAAAAGACUACCACAAAGAAAUUGCUAGAAUCUGAAUCAAGGGAUAUGAACUACUAACCACCUUUAUCUGAUAAAAAUAACUCGCAUUGGAGUUAUCACCCAGAAAUAGAAUUACAUGGAUUCUUAAAUUCCAAUAAUUGCAUGCGUAUAUUGAUACACAUUUUCUACAAAUAGAAAACCUGGAAAAACCACAUUUGCUACAAAAGGAAUCCAACGAUCUUGAACUUAUCCAAAACGCUACUGCAAAAUCGACCAGGAAAACGAAAUAAACGAGAACAAAAAAAAUGGCACAAAAACAUCAGAAAGGACUAAAUUUGGUACGAGAUAGAUACCGAAUUUGAUGAAAAGAAAAUUGAUCACCUUCAAAAAGCUUUUUUUAUGUAUCCAAACACCCAAAGAACGCAAAUUUAACAAUACCCAGAACGAAAAAAAGGCAGAAACAUCUAAAUUAACAAAUGUAGGUAAAAAAAGAUGGCAUAAGAACCAUACCAAACUUGAUGAAACUAAUAUUAAUCACCACAAAGAAAGCGUUUUUACGGAUCAAAACAUCCAAAGAUCACAAAUUUAGGGAGACCCAAAAAGGAUUAGAAGCAAUGCGAUCUAAAUUGGCAUGUAUAGGACAAAAUGGUAGAGAUAAUCACCUCGGAACUGAUUCCGUAGAUCGAAAAUGACAACUACUAUGCGGAAAAUUCGCUUCUUUUGGAUUUGGGUUUCUCUUUUCGUUUGGUUUCUUCUUGAAUACGAGCGAGAAAGAGAGAUAAAAGAGCGAAACAGAGAGAGAGACGUCGAAGUGGAGGACGAGAUAUAUUGGAAAGUUACUUGAGUUGUUAUGAUCAACUCGGGUUAAGUUUUUUUUUUUUUUUUUUUUUUUUUUUUUUUUAACCUUUGCCCUUGGUUAAGGUUAGAAUUUACUAUUCCCGCAACUAAGGAAUGCCUCUUCACUACAACUUUUUUACAAAAUUGCCAUUAUUGGUUGGGUUGGGAUUCUGUAUUUUGAUAUUACUUGUGUUUAUAAAUAUAAAUCUAAUUUAAAAGGUUUAUAAAUAUAUUUUAGAGUAUGUUUGUGGGUUUGUGGGUUUGUGGGUUUGUGGAAGCCAAAUAGAUGUAGAAAAUAUCAAAUCUCCAUGUUGAUCUUUUUGAAGAAUUUUUUUUUAUGAUGUAAAUCUACAGUUUGGUAUUUAGUUCAAAAUAAGAUUUUGAUUAGUGGUGCUUUAAUUUCUAGAAUAACUCAUUCUCUAUUGUGAGUAAUUUAAUUUCUUUUAUAAAAGCUUGUCUUAUAAGUCUCAUAUAUAAUUAUUUUUAUAAACGUAUUAUCAUACCUUUUAUUAAAAAGUGUGAAAUAAGAUGUUCAUACAUGUAUUAAAAAUGACCAUAACAAAAUAUACAGUAAUAUUUGGACAGAUCACCGGUCGUUCCUAACGCAAGUGGCAAAGGUCUUAAUGGUUGGUAUCCAAAAUACUAAAUUCGAAUUCUAGUUGAUUCACAUUUUUCAGCUAAGUUUAUUUUUAAAUGAAAUAAACGAAGUAGGUAGUAUACAAUCUAUUUCUCAAAAAAAACUAUAAAAAUUAUAGACUCAAUUAUUCAAUAGAUAACAAAUAUGAAACUACAACAAACUCUUCAUUUAGUAUAUUUAAUUAAAUUAUAUUAUUAAAUUGAAUAAAUAAUUUAACUAAAUUUGUUAGCAAUUUUGUUAAAAUUUUAUUAAUCUUAACAAUUUUUCAAUUUCACUAACUGUCCCUAUCGCAAGAGGCAAAGGACUUAUUUGUUAGUACUCAAUAUCUUAGAUUCGAAAUCUAAUUAUUUCAUAUUUAAAAUUAAGUUUAUUUAAAAAAAAAAACAUUCUUCAAAUUCAAGUCGCGACAAAUAACUAAUAUAUAACCAUUAAUAGUAAUAAAUGAAGAUGACUCAAAAUUUAAAAAUAUCAAAUCACAAAAUAAAAAUUUAUACUUUCAAAAUGAACCUUCAUUUUGAAGUGCUCUCCACAAGUAAGGGUUGAAUAGUCUUUAAGUAUUGUGGAUAAGAUAGGCUAAAAGGGUGUGGGACCAUACAUUACACAGUAAAAGUUAUUUACAAUUUCUUUUCAUUUCAUAUCUCCUGGUUAUGGGGGGGUUCGCCCACGACACCUGGAACACGCUUCCAAAACGCUCACUCUUUUUACAGAAAACGGUACUACGCCACGUAGAACCUAUUAAUGCGUAAGAUAAAUAUCUAAACAAAAAACCAAUGUAGUAACAUUAAUGUAAUAAAAAUUCAGUCAAUUUGCAUGAAAAUUUUACCAAUUUUGGGAUUUUGUAAAAGAUGGUUCACUGUUUUGAAUUUUAUAGAUUCAGUUUGAAUUUUUAGUAAACUGAUCAAAAUAUUAUUAUUUUUUCUCUCUCUCUGUUUUUUAUUGGUUUGUUUUUCUUUUUCGGUCCAGUUCGUCUCUGUCGUCAUUUCUUUUCUCCUUCUCCUUCUCUUUCACCGUCUCAUAUUGACGCUGCUCUCUUUCCUUUUUUUUUUUCGCUCGUUCUUUUUUCUUCUUCCGCUCUGGUUCAUCUCCCUUUGCGUUGUUUCUUUUUCUUAUUCUUCUUCUUCUUCUUUUCACGCUUUCUCUUCUUACUUUUCCUCCUUCACCAUCCGCACAUCAACACCACACUCCGCUCUUUAUCUCGCCCACACCUCUGUCGACGUUGAUUUGAAUAGAUCUUGAAGGUGAGCAUGCGGCAGAGCGCAUGAUCAGGGAUGGCAACAACGACAAGAAUACCGAAGGAUUUAAAAACUUGCCUCAAUUAUAAACUAUGUUGUUUCAACAUUCGACCUUUCAAACUUUCAUUUUAGCUCCUCAUAUUUUAAUUUAUUAUAUUUAAAUUGUUUAGAGACUCUUUCAUUAAAAAAUUUAGUUUAAUUAUUUAUUUUAAUAAUUAAGUAAUAUAUAUCAACUAAAUAAUGCAAAAAAAGCCUUUGAGAUAAAUUCUAGGCAAAGCUGUAAAAAGCACCCAUGCACUUUAACACAAGUCUCAAAUUACUUCUUUAUAAAAAUUUGCAUCUCAAAUAAAUAUAAUUUUUUAAAAAAAUUAAUAGAUUAUGCUGUAAAAUUCAACGAAGAUAAAUUGACAUAUCACAUUAUUUCACAUCUCAGGAUAUAUCCAAUUUGAAACUCAAAAAUAUAUAAAAAUUCAAAUAAAGGAUAUUUUCUAUUUUGCUAGUACUAUCAAAAUUGAAAAUUUAUUGAAUAAUUUAUUUAACUUAUAUAAUUUUAUUGUAUUUCUAAUAAAUAAAUUUUUUCGCAAAUUUAUUUUUUCUAAAUUUUUAUAACUGAAUUCAAUAAUUAUCCCGCACAACUAAAUCUAUUUAAUAAUAAUUAAACAUAAAAUUAUAAUUUUAUUAAAAAAAAAGAUAAUUUACUU
Molecule: long non-coding RNA, 84370 nt
Filed under: Ananas comosus (pineapple)
Lineage: Eukaryota; Viridiplantae; Streptophyta; Magnoliopsida; Poales; Bromeliaceae
Description: long non-coding RNA (ACOM_LNC004519)
Source: RNAcentral